RNAcentral lists this long non-coding RNA (53491 nucleotides) under Citrus x clementina. RNAcentral describes it as "Citrus clementina (C. clementina) long non-coding RNA (CCLE_LNC002507)". The record is from RNAcentral. Lineage: Eukaryota; Viridiplantae; Streptophyta; Magnoliopsida; Sapindales; Rutaceae.
CCUGCGCCAUCAGAUACGCGACGGAGUUGCCCACAGAGUUGUCAGGCAAGGGCGGCUCGGCCACGGCACGCACGUUUAUCGCGUAUGCUGACAAAGAAGGUCUUGAAUACCCGAGGUUUGAUCUUGACGCAGCCCUUGCACACUUCCAAAUAAGUGCAGUCAGUGCCUCGACGCGUGAUGGUCUAGGCACGCUUGCACUUGAAACUUCAGCCCUGAGUCGGUCAAUUUUCUUUGUAUCAAAUACAAACCUGUUUGCUUGGACUGGUGAAAUAUGUAAAGGUAAGGGCACGAAGGAUUCACUUGCCGGAAAAAUCGUUGAUGCAACAAAUCUAGGAACCACUUCCUUAUUACCUGCACGAGCUGUGGUGGUCCAGCUGUUAACAAAUAUACCUAACGAGACUCCAUCAAUGAGCUUGUGACAAGUGCAAACUGUGAUUGCCAGUCCCCCGCAUUUGAAAAAAGUUGCUUGUAUGCGCAUCAUUGGACCCCCGUUGCUUGCUACUGGAGAUUCUGCGUAGUUAAACGGGUGAAAAUCCCGUAAUAGAUUCUGAUCAGGCUUUUGUAGGUAUUCAAACAAAAAGCCGUUUGCAAAAGCUUCAACAUACUCAGCCCCUUCGUCGUUACAUUCAAUUGAGAAAUCGUCUUUGACCCUCCCAGCAAGUGGGUAGAAUUUUGUGAGAGUUUUUGAUAGGGAUGACUUGAGACGUUGCGAAAUCUGGUCAGCUUUCACAUUACCGUCUGCUUUGUACAGAAAAAUGGUGCUCACAUAGACCGGAAAAUUAAUCUGGUCCAUGAGGGAAAGUUUAAAAUUUCUCAGGUGUUCAGGAGUUGGGUAAGCUGGUUUGAUGCUUUCUCUGGCCCGUACUAGUACUUCUAGUGCCCUUUCCAUUUUAGGCUUUGCUACUUUCGCAACCGUUUGUAGACUUCUUAUUAGUAGUACCUGUUCAUUAUUAAAGCAUCAAAAGUUAAAUACAUUAUACACAUAUAACUGUAACUAAGAAAAGUUUUAUCACUAGUUUUGCUUACUUUUCAGUGCCUGCCUUGUUGCUCUAGAUCUCGGUUGCUCUUAUUAGAUGCAGCUCCUCGGUAACUAGCUAAGACCCUUAUAUAGUAAAAUUUGGUUGCCAAAUUUGACUCCAUUAGUUCGAUUCCGUGGUUUGUCAAUGCAUCAUCAGUUCAAUGAGAGCUUGCUCACGAUAAUCACAUGCAUUGCUUUUUGAAUUUUAUGAAUACGAAUCCUCACGAUCGAAAGAGACAUUGAUCAAUACAUUAAGUAAACGCUCGUGAAUAUAUAUGGACAAUUGAAAGAGCAAUGCUAGGUACGUCAAUAUCUAAGUCCCAAUUUGAAUCCUAAUUGAUGUGGCAAGGGUUGGCAAAACCUGGGUCCGGGCUUGGGAAUGGCAAUGCUUGGAUCCGAACUUAGGUAUGGCAAUGCCUGGAUUCGGUGCAGAUAUAUUUUUUAGACACCCAGGUUGAGCUUUCGGGCCGAAUUUUUUAAUUCGGAUUAUUAUAUCGGAUUUUAUACUUUUUAAUAUUAUAUAUGUGUACUUUUUAAAUUUUUUUGUAAUUUUACAAUUUUUAAAUUUAUUUGUAUGAAAUUGGACAUGAAAAUAUGAACUUUAAAUAUUUAAAACUUUACAUAAUAUAGUAGAUGGGUCAAAUAAAUAUAAUUAUUUAAACUAAUAUAUAUUUUAUAAUAUGUUUUUCAACAAAAUUCUAGUUCUAGACCGAGUUCCAGGCUUAUCAAGUGAUGUCCAGGACCAGCCCCGCUUCAUCUUUGGGCUAGGUAAUCAUAGGUCCAAUCUGGGUCUAGACCGAGUGGGUAUUAAAAAAUACCCCUAGAUGUGGCAUUCAUUGAUUACAUGGUAAUUAAGUAAUUUUACUAGUUGUGAAAUCCAUCAUUCAGUAGAUGAAUGACAAAUAGCACUGGGACUCAAGUUGGGCCUCAAAUGUUGGGAUCCCUAACAUUUUUGCAAUUAAGCAGCAAAUGGUCCAAUCUCAAAAAACUCUAAAGGCAUUAAAGGCAAAGGCAGAGAGCAAGAAAGUAGUAGGAAAAUUGUUGUUUGACAACGAAUCUCCGCUAACACCUGAGGUAAUGGCAGUGGCUUUGCCGCUCAAGUAUGUGGUUCUAGCCUUGGUUUAUGGAGGACAAAUUGACCCAAAUCACCAUGUAGAGAGGUUUAAUAAGAUAAUCAAGAUCAAAGGCUUGAAUGAUCUAUAGAAGUGCCGGGUUUUUUGCUUUACUCUAGAAAGGUAGGCGCGAUAAUUUUAUUGAAGACUAAGAAAUGGGAAGCAUAGGAAAUUUCAAAGAAUUGUGUGACCUCUUAGUCGUGAAUUUCGGAGGUUUAUGCAUACGUGAGCAAGAUAUGCAAGGAUUAAAGAAGGGAUUUAGAAUCAAUUGGUUGUAGAAUAGUUUGUAUAAUAAGAGAAUUGCAACAUAUGCUAAGGUGUAUGAUCAGGCAAAAUGGAUGUAAAAAACUAAAAGUGUAGAAGAAGAUAAAAAGAGAAUGGAAAAAUAGAGGAUAUGUCCGGUGUGAAAAGAACUAAGAAGAGGAUGAGAUAACCUUAGUUACAGCUCGAGAAGGAACUCAGAUAAUAGGCGUCAUUAUGACAAAGGCUUGGUUAAUGACAGAUGACUAGACAGGCCAUGACAAAACAAAAGCAUUGAAUGAAGUUUGACAGAAGAAACAAAGGUUUCUGAAUAAUGGUAAGCUUUAUUGAAAAGUCUGAAUGAAUAAAACUAGAGUUUUGAACCCCUUUUAUAACAAGUUCAAAUAUCGCGAAUUUACCAAAAUAAGCAAAUCCAAAAUCUAAUAUGAUAAUUAAAUUCUCCUAACUAAAAUAAGAAAAUGAGAACAAAUGGCACUAAAGUCCAAGUUCUAGAAAAAGAUAAAAAUCCUAAAAGAAUCAAGAAAAAUAAGAAAGAAUCUUAAAACUAGAAAAUGACCAGGAAAGAAACAUAAUUUUUUGUUCGACCAUGGGGCAAAAUGGCUUAUACGGAGUUUUUUUCAUUUUGUUACAAGCUUCAAAACGAUACAUUAUAUACUGAAUACAAACAUUUGUAGCCCAAUUUAUGGCCUCCGGAAGGUAUAUUGUUCGCUAUACACAACACCCUACAUCAAGCCAGUUCGUGAUUGGGAAAAAAAAAAUCUUGAAGAGAGGAAGUCCCACCAAUAGGCGAGGCCAAGAAAGAGUAAAUGACUAUAGGAAAAGCUAAUAGGAGAACUGAGUAAGAAUAAUAAGAUGUGUCACCUAUAGUUUGGAGAGGAUCAAGAUUAUAUAUAGGGUAAACUUAAUAGAGAAGAGUGGGAGAUUUACACCUCUAAACAAGAGCAAAGCAAAAAUAUUUAUUGUGACUACAGAUAAGGGCUAUUAAGUCUGCCAAAGCCAAUUAUGAGAGAUCUGCGUCCGAGUAUGGAACCACAGAUUGCAUAGAUGUGAAAAAAGAGAUUGAAUGGCUUAUGUAAAACCAAUAUCUAAAGGAAAUGUGAACACGAAAGAAGAGAUGAGACUAGAGGGGACAACAAAGACAAUAUGGUAAUGAUGAUUAUGGAGUGGCAGACCUUGCAAGGGACUUGAAUUGUUCGAGGUGGAAUUAUAGUUGAUACUCCCUAAAACGUUAUGAUGUGAAUUUUAAUGUUCCGAUACCAAAGAAGCAAUGAGUUCAAAGAGUACUGACUAUGUUCACAAACGAAGAUGAGGAAGUGUUCACCCACCCACAUAAAGAUACGCUUUCAGUGAAAGUUACCUUGUCAGGGUAGGAGUUGAAUUAGGCUUUCUACAUACAGCUCAGCUAACAUUUUGUUUUUGGAUGGUCUACAAAUAGGUGACGUCGGGCUUGAUCCUAUCAACACAUCAUCAAGAGGAUUUGGAGGACCUAAGCUGACUUCCAUCAAUGUAAUUGAUCUAUAAUUGACUGUAGGGUCCAACUCACUACAAAAAAAUAGUGAAGGUGAUAGGGUGGUUGGUGAUGAGCCUAGCCUUUAUCAAGUCAUUUUGGGCAGGCCAUUUGAUAGGAUAGUAGGACCAAUGAGCUCAAGACUUUUUGAGGAUUGCCUGAUCCUAUUAAGACUAAGAUCAUCAUUUUAGCUUUGUUGAGUUCUAACAUGAAUAAAUUAUAUGAUCCGAUCUUAUUGAGAUAAAGGCCAUCAUUCUAGACUUUUUGAGGUCCGAUGUGAAUAAAUUAAAUGCCCGAUCUUAUUGAGAUCGAGGUCAUCAUUUUGGCUUUGUUGAGGUCCAAUGUGAAUAAAUUGCAUGAUCUAAUCUUAUUGAGAUUGAAGUUACCAUCUUGGCCUUAUUGAGGUCCAAUUGAUUUUGUUCUACUAGCCUUAUCGAUAUCUAGCUAAUUAUAAUUGUUGUGGCUUUAUUGAGGUCCAAAGUUAACAAUUAUAAUAUGAUCCUAUUAAGAUCAAGGUCAUCAAUUUUGAUAUUAUUGAGGUCCAACCUAAUUUAAUUAUUUGAUAACUUCAUUUAAUUAUUUGAUCCAAUCUUAUUAAGAUUGAAUUUGGCAAUUUUCUAAACUCCAUUUUAGACUUAUUGAGGUCCAAUUGAUUUUGUUCCACUAGCCUUAUUAAGGUUUGGCCUAUUAAAUUGUUUUGGCCUUUUUGAGGUCCAAAGUGAACAAGAAUGAUCCAGUCUUAUUGAGAUCGAGACCAUCAUUUAGCCUUACUGUUGUAGUGAAUUGAAAUGUUAUUGAUGUCAAUAUGUAAGUGCACAUAACAAGUAAUAUAAUGAUAAGUAGUCGAGAUCAUUUCCACAAGGAUUGAUGUUAUUAGAUUUGCUACAACAAUCUUAAUAAUGCAAUUUUGCUUUAAUUGAAAAUAAAACAAAUAAUAAAACUAAUACCUUAAUUAAUUACAAUAAAAUGCAAUAAAGUAAAUUCUCACAUCACACACAAGGAUAAAACCAAUGGGAAUGGAGUAGUUGAAUGAUUAAACUCCCUUAAUGGUUUUAACUAUUUUUCUAAUAUUUGGUUCAGUUGCUACAGUAUCUCCUACAACACUGGGCCGAAUCCUUAUGUAUCCUCAGUUGUCGCAUGUUAGAUGUCUUAUAUCUUUUGCAACCUAACAGUGACCAAUUGUUAUGCUAAUAUAAGAUAUAGCAUUACACGCUUAGGUUCUAAUUACCCUACAAGGUGAAUCUUUAUGUCUAAUUCAUCACUAAUUUUAAAUUUAGCAUGACCCUUUUGGAAUCAAGUAAAACUCAACUCAAGAAACCAAUCUAAAACCACGUAUUGUUCUGAUAUGUUCCACUAAGAUAGACCAUUUUGUGGUUCUUUCCUAGCUAAUAUCAUUAAAUGAGUGGUUAGCCGAAUUAAUUAAUAGAAAUAAGUAUUAUCAUUUACUCUCUAAAUAAUAUUGAUUUAAUCCAAAAUAUAACUAAAAUGCAAUAAAAAUAUGUCAUUUACUCUCUAAAUAAUAUUGAUUUAAGUCUAAAAAUAUCAUGAUAACUCUCAUUUCAUAGAGUUAUCACUUACUGUGGUCCAAAGUCUAACCAAAAUAUCUACUAGUCUGACCUAGAAACCUUAAUUGCCAACGUAGAGAUACACAAAUCUGACCUGAAAAUCUAUUUAUCAAGGUCAUGUCAAGUGUGCUAUGCCUACCUAGAGAUCUGUCAAUUUGACUUGAAAAUCUGUUUGUCCUGGUCAUGUCAAACAUGCUCUGUCUAUUUGGUGAUCUGCCAAUCUGACUUGAAAAUCUUUUUGUCCAUGUCAUGUCAAACGUGCUCUAAACAAGUCCUAUUCUUUAGAGAAGUUAAGUGUAAUCACCUUUUAAACCACCUUCAACUGAUAGAGGCUACCUGCAAUUGCUGAGAGAGUGAGCUAAAAUUGAGGAAAUAACCACCCAGGACCAAAAGCCUAUUUAAGCUAUAAAUGGUGUUAGAAGAUGGGGGUUUGCAAAUUCGACUGGAAGCUCUAAAAAGUUACGAACCACUUAAUCAUCUGCCUCUUACAUGACCUUCAGAACAACACCAAAAAUAUCCCUUGAAUUCUUGCUUAUUUCUAGUUUUUACAUUCCAUUUUCCUUCUUUUAUAUAUCAAAUAUCUGACUUAUGCAUCGGAGGAUUUGUGCCAGACUCUUUCAGCAUAUCCUAAUUGUGUUUUAUGGUUGGCUGAUGUAGUGAAAUGCAUUUGGAUCGGUGUUUGAGUUUGGAUUCGUGCUAUUAUUCCCUAGAAAAUAAAUUCAGCUGUUGAGGUUAUUUUUCAGCAUUAACAGUUAAUAAGCUAAAUCAUUAAAAAUAAAAAUAUUACUAAGACUUCUAUUCAAUGACAAUAUAUCAUAUAAAAAAUGUGAUAAUAAUUUAUAAUGGAAAAAAAUUACAAAGCAAAAGAGUCCCCACCCACAUAAAAUUUCUUAGCCUAGUUUAAAAGAGAGAGACUAUCAAAACAAAAAAAAAAACAAAAAAAAAAUUGAAUGUAGACCAUCACAACCAUUUUUUUUUUACAUGCUUGCUUCUUCUACUUUUUUUAAAACUAUUUUUAUUCAUUAACAUGUACUUUAUUUUGACAAUAAUAUUUGUGUAUAAAAUGACAUUAUAUAUAUAUAUAUAUAUAUAUAUAUAAGUUAUAAAUAAAAUGUUCAAGGAUCAAAUUAGAAUUUUUGUGUUUAACUUAUCAUAUUUUAUUUGAAAACUCAAACAAAAUAACAAAAUUCAAACUUUGCAAGUGUUGUGGCACCUUCUAACCUUACAUGCUCUCAGCCCUAACCAGAAAGAAAAUAUAAAAUGACUAACCACAUACUUGUGGUGGAUCCUAAAGCUACAUAUGUUAAGAAUCUGCCCUUGACUGUCCAAAAAAAAAAUGAGAUGAAACUGCUAGUUUACAUGUUGCUCAAAACUGGUUUCACGAUAAGAGAGAGCAUAUAUCUCACCCAAUAUACACUCAUACAUGUAUGUCCUUAAUAUCUUCCUCAACAAAAUGGCGAGUUAGAGGUCGAAAACUAGUAAGCUCAACUUGAGGAUAAAAACCAUUUUGCAUCAAAUUUUUCACCCAACAUUUCCUUCCACGCAUUAUUCCAUUUAAAUCCCCAAUUCCUUAGUUUCCUUAUAUGUCAGCUCAGUUUUCAGAAUGUGGAAGUGCUUGAGGAUAUUUGUAAUAAUGUUACCAAAGGCAAGGUGUUUGACAAUAAAUAGCCUGUGGCUAUCAUGUUCUGAAUAAUAAGGUACCCAAUAUUAACUUUCAUUUCUCUCUGUUAGAAUAUGUUCUGAUGAAGUUGAUACAAAGAGCAAGGAUUGCAGAGUAUAAUAAGCCUAGUGGUGCAGGAAGUAGCUAAUAAAAGAAUCAUGCUGAUGUGGCAGAGGACGUUAUGCUAAUAUUUCAGAGUUUGUUAUAUAUCAAAACCAUAGUGUAACAAAAUUAGUGAUUGGUAGUUAUGUGCAUGAAUAUUCCACAAUCUUGUAAAUAAUAAUUGUAUUAGUUAGUUUUCGGUUCAAUAAAAUCUGUGAUCAUUUUCUUCUCUCUCAUUCUUCUUCUUCCUUUAUCUUUUCUCUCUAUUUUCUUAGAAUCCAAACACUUUCUCAGCUCAUUUCAAACAUGGUAUCAGAGCCAAUUACCAGCUCAAAUCUAAAGAGCAAUACUUAUAACUUUGUCACUUCAAUAAAACUUUAUCAAAACAAUUUUAUUUUUUGGAGAACUCAAGUUCUUACUUCUAUCAAAUCCAAUGGCUUAGAAGGUUUUAUCACUGGUACAAAAAGUGUCCAGAUCAGUAUAUUGUUCAAGAUGAAGCUGCUGCGAGCUCCUCAAGCUCUGCAUCUGGAUCAAGAGUUGAAAAUCCUACGUUCUCUGCGUGGAUUAGAAUUAAUCAACUUCUCCUCAGUUGGAUGAUGUCUUCAAUUCAAGAGAAUUUUCUCUCCUUAGUGAUUCAUUGUGUUUCCUCUCAAUAAUUGUGGGAGUCUCUGAAUCGCAUGUUUGUUUCUCAAACACAAGCUCGUGUCAUGCCUAUCAAGAUGCAACUACAGACAGCUAAGAAAUGAUUAAUGACAAUGAGUGCAUAUUUUGCAAAAAUGAAAAGGUUAGCUGAUACUCUUGCCAUAGCUAGUAAGCCUAUUGAGAAUGGUGAUCUUGUUAAUUACAUUUUAACUGGACUAGAAUCUCAAGAAUAUGAAUCUCUAGGUAUAAGCCUAUUAGCUAGAGGUGAAAGCUUAAGUCUAGAUGAUUUGUAUGCCUUAUUACUGAGUCAUUAAAUGAGAAUUGAACAGAAGAAAAAUAAUCUUAGCACUGAUGUAAUGCAUAAUCUUCUGCAAAUCUUGUUCAGAAGAAUCAAGGAUUUGGCAGAAAUAAUUAUGGAUUUAAAAAAGGUAAUAUGAGUUUUGGUGGAUUUGAUGGCAAUACAUUUAAUAAUCCAGGAUCAGGUCAAAAUAAUAAUAAUUUUGACUUAAUCAUCUGCCAAAUCGGCUUCAUACCUGGACAUAGAGCAAACAAAUGCAAGAAUAGGUUCAAUCCUGGUUUUGUACCUCAAAAGUAUUAUGGCAGAGGAGGGUUUAAACCAACUUAUGGACAAAAUGGUAAAGGUUUUGGACCUAGACCAUUUCCUGGCAAUGGUAGAGGAUUUAAUGGUCAAUUUAAUGGUAGAGGAUAUGAUUAUAAAACUACUAGUUACCAAGGCAACAUGAUAUAUUCAUAUGUAAUAGCUUCUAAUACUUAUUAUGUACCUUCUCAAUCCUCGCAGUCUCAUCAUUUUUCUCCUCCUCAACCUUCUGAUCAUCUAAUGAUAGCCAGGCCUAAGGCUAAAAUCUUUAAGCCUAAGACUUUUUUAGCAGCAUUACUUGCUGAACCUACAGAACCAGCCUCUGUGGCUCAAGCAUUAGCAUAUCCUAAAUGGUUUAAUGCCAUGAAAGAAGAAUUUAAUAUAUUGCAGGCCAAUCAAACUUGGUCUUUGGUUCAACCUUCUACACCAGUCAAAGUUAUAGACAAUAAGUGGGUAUUCAGAAUCAAGUAAAAUCCAUAUGGAUCCAUAUCUAGAUAUAAGGUUAGGCUUGUUGCAAAAGGCUUUUCUCAAACUCAAGGGGUUGAUUAUAAUGAAAUCUUUAGUGCAGUUAUUAAAGCCUCUACUAUCAGGAUUGUUUUUAGCAUAGCUAUAAUGCAUAAAAUGGGUUAUUAGACAGAUUAAUGUUAAUAAUGCAUUCCUUAAUGCCUAUCUUGAAGAAGAUGUGUAUAUAACACAGCCUGCAGGCUUCAUUGAUCCCUCCAAGCCUCAUCAUGUAUGUAAGCUUAAGAAGGCUCUCUAUGGUUUAAAACAAGCUCUUAGAGCUUGGUUUGAUAGAUUUAAAUGUGCAAUGGUUCAACAAUGGCAGUUCACAAAUUCCAAGUCAGAUUCUUCUUUGUUUUUCAAAUGGCAUCUUGGCCAUAUCUUGCUGGUUUUGGUUUAUGUUGAUGAUAUUAUCAUUACUGGCUCAAAUCUGUCCACGGUGCUUUUAGUUAUAUCUGAUAUGCAUAGUACAUUUGCUCUUAAAGAUUUGAGGGAGCUUAGCUAUUUUUUAGGGAUACAGGUUACUAAAACAGUAGAUGGAAUACAUCUUUGUCAAGCCAAAUACAUAGCAGAUCUUUUAGUCAAGCAAAAUAUGGAUAAAAGCAGUCCUUGUGCCACACCAAUGGCUACUUCACAUUCUCUUACCAAAAUUCAAGCACUCCUAUUGACAAUGAUUCUCAGUACAGAAGCAUAAUUGGAGCAUUGCAAUAUGUUACUCUUACUAGGCCUGAAAUUGCUUUCUCAGUAAAUAAACUGAAUUAAUUUCUUUCCAAUCCUACUGAUGAACAUUGGCAAGCUUUUAAACGUUUGUUGAGAUAUCUCAAAGGGACUCUUUAUUUUGGAUUGGCUUUUUCUCACACUGGUUGCCUACAACUUAACUAUUUUACUGAUGCUGAGUGGGCAUGUGAUAGGGAUGAUAGAAAAUCAGUAGCUGGGUAUGCUAUGUAUCUGGGUUCCAAUCUGGUAUCUUGGUCUUCUAAAAAACAAUCUAUUGUUUCUAGAUCAAGUAUAGAGUCUGAAUACAGAGGUCUUGCUUUGCAACAACAGAGGUAAUAUGGAUUCAAGCUCUACUUUCUGAAAUGAAGCUCAAGUCAGUUGACAUACUUAUAAUGUAGUGUGAUAAUCAAAGGGUCAUUGCCUUAGCUAACAAUCCAGUUUACCAUGCUAAAACUAAACAUGUUGAACUAGAUAUUCAUUUCAUUAGAGAGAAGGUUUUAGCUAAACAAAUUAGUAUUUGCUUUGUUCCAAGUGCAGAUCAAACAUCAGACAUUUUUACAAAGGCUCUCACUUAUAAUCAGUUUUAUUAUCUUAAAAGCAAGCUAAAAGUUCAUCCUGGACCUUUUAGCUUGAAGGAGGAUAUUAGAAUAUGUUUUGAUGAAGCUGAUACAAAGAGUAAGGAUUGCAUAGUAUGAUAAGUCUGGUAGUGCAGCAAGUAGCUUAUAAAAGAAUCAUGCUGAUGUGGUAGAGGACGUUAUGUUGAUAGUCCAGCAUUUGUUAUAUAGAAAAACCAUAUUGUAACAUAAUUAGUGAUUAGUAGUUAUGUGCAUGAAUAUUCCAAAAUCUUGUAAAUUUAUAAUUGCAUUAGUAUAAAUAGAUGAGCUGUAAUUGUUUUAGUUAGUUUUCGGUUCAAUAAAAACUGUGAUCAUUUUCUUCUCUCUCGUUCUUUUUCUUCCUUUAUCUUUUCUCUCUAUUUUCUUAGAAUCCAAACACUUUCUCAACUCAUUUCAAACACUCUCAACAAAUAAUCGAGCAAUGCAAUAUUCAACUGUGUUAGGUGUUAUCUCAUCAGCAUGACCCUUUCGAGGACUAAUAACAUGAUGCGGAACAGUGUGAAACAUGCACACUCGAAGGAACAACAGUUGUGAGCAGAUAUUCAUAUCACAGAUAUCAUUUGUAACAAAUUGAAUGUGAUCAAAGCCCUCAAAUUCCUCUUUUUUUUUUUUAAGAUGAAAAGAUCUGAAAGCCACUAUCAUGAGUUCCUAAUAUCCUAUUUGGUUUAGACACAUAAAAGAAGAUAGGCUUCCCAUAUACACAGAAGUGAUUAUUUGAUUUUAUUUGGAUUGGUUAGAGUCCAUAUAAAGUUUUAGUACACAUGGUCAUUUUCCCAAUCGAAUUUGGUAGUGUCGUUAAGGUGCACCAAAUUUAAAACCUUACCACUAAUAUAAAUAAUUAGUACAGAGCGAGUAAGGAUCGAUCCCACAGAGACUAUGCUAGUUAUAUUUAUUAUUAACUCCAAAGCAAGAUUUAAAAAUAAAAUAAUAGUAAUAAUAAUAUAAAUUAAUCUAACUAAAGAAAAUGUCAAUUAUAAAUAAAAGGGGGGUUUAUGAAUUUUUAACUAAAUAGUAAUAAAUAAAGAAAUUAAAAUUACGAACAAGAAUUUAAUAAAAACUCUAAUUAAAGGAGAAAGAAAUAAUAAUGAUGAAAACUUUGGUUAAAGGAUCAUUCGCCACCACCAAACAUGCACAUAAUACAUCAAUUCUAUCAUCAAUUUAUAUUGAAACUAUCAACCGUAGACAACAAUAAGCUCUGUUAGUCUCAAUCUUUCCUUAGUGUGUCGUUAGGCAAUAUAAGCUCUUCACCUAAUCUCUAACCAUUAAAUAAUUUAAAACAAGCUCUUUAAAUUUAAGAUAAUAGAAGCAUUAAAAAGAGAAAGAUAUUAGGUUGAUCUAGGCAAUAAACACACAAGCUCAGAUUAUUUAACCUAGGUUAUGUUCUCCAAUUGAAAUCACUGAUUCCAACCUGCUACUAAUGAUUAAAAUAUCAAGACAAUUACGGAUAAAAAAUUUUAAUCUAGCAAUAAAAUUUAUUCAAGUCCUAUCUAAUUGGCCACUCAAAUAAAACAAGAAUAAACCAUGAACAUUAAUUAUAGAAGAACAUAAACAUUCUCAAUUAAAUAAAUUGAAUGAUAGAAUUUAAAUUUAAUUGCAUAGCAUGUUUAGGGUUUUGAAUUCACCCUUAACCAAAUAAAAAUCUAGCCUAACAUAAUUGAAUUGAGAAUAAGAGAAUUGAUAAAACCAGUCAUGGAGAUUAAUUCAAGCGGCUGCCUUUGCUUCAAUUUAAUUCCUUCCGACGUCUGCCUUGUUUUUUUCCUUCUUGCGGCUGCAAUCUCAAAUUCUCUUGCUGCCGAUUCUCUCUACCUGAAUUGCGUCUGCACUCCUCUCUUUAUUCAAAAGCAAAACUCCCUUUUAUAUUGCUUGGCCACCGAAUCCUAUUGUGAUUCUAACAACUAAACUAACUUUUACAAGCUAAAGCCCUAAGCUUGCCACGUAAUUGAAAACAAUAAAGGCCAAAAGCUAUUGAUUUCCUUCCUUUAUUCUACUUUGACUUUCCAUUCAAAGGCUUAAUUAAAAGCUUUGUUUUAUGUGCUGCCCAUUUUAGCUUUAACUUGCUUCUUUGUUUGCACGAACAUGGAGAAUUCAAUUUAUUGGCUUCGGUUUCUUCAAACAGAAUUUCUUGCACAUCUCCUUAAUUACUUCCACAAAUUGAUUUGAUCUUCAAUGUUGUCCAAUUGUUAUUCUUUAUGUACUUUUCAUCCAUAAUCUCCAAUUAAUUUCCUAUGCAAUAAAAUAAUUCAAUUAAUUAAAAAUAACAAAUAAAAAUAACUAGCAAUUAUAUAAUUAAGGGUAAAAUAUGUAUAUAUAAAUUAUGCUCAUCAGACUUCUUGAAACAUAUGAUAUGAAGUUUGAUGACAUACAACCAGAUGACUCAACUUAUCCAAGUUGACAUAAAAAGCGGAGAGUACCUGGCGGUCCAUGAACAGAAAGAAGAACUGCUUGUCCAUACAGGUUUCUAAAAAUUGAAGCAGCUGGCAGCUUCAUUAAUGUGAUGAGCCACUUGUUGUCCCAAAAUUAUGUUUAUUCUGAAUAAGGUGGUUAACCGGCUUAAUUGUAGCGGUUAGUAGUUUGCUAGAGUUGGCAAUGGAACAAGAUUUGAUAAUCUUGAUCAAAGGUGCUUGAGGCAGCUGAUUAAUGUAGGAAGUUAAUUUUGGUUAAUUUAGGAAUUUUAAAAUUUUAGAAUUUUAUUAUUUUGAGGUUUUCUAUUUUAAUUAGAGUCAAUUAUGGUAUUUUAUUAUUUUAGCACUUUUCAUUUUGAUUAGAGUCAAUUAGGGUAUGAGAUUUAGCUAAUUAAGGGAAUAAUCUUUUAUUUCCAUUAUAAUUGUAAUUUAGUUUCCCUUUUUAAGUUAACUUAGGGAAGUGAGUUUCAUCUAUUAUAGAUAGAGAGGUCCUGUAAUUAUUUUCAAAGUUCAGAUUCAACUAUUCAAUAAAACCCCUCUUUAUAAUUCCCUUUGGGUAUUAUCUAUCAAAAUCUCUCUUGUAGAGUCGUUUAGAUUAGAUCGUCAUCUAAUCUUGCUUUACGCAUUAUUAAAAAUCUCAUUGAGUUGUCUGGGUUAGAUCGAUAUCUAAUCACGCUUCGAUUAGGGCUUACACCUAAUCGUGUUGGUUUGGUUCAGUACUAAAAUGAAAUCUAGUUUUCCUACCCUAUCAAUUUCCACUUCUGCUAUGCCUUGCUCCAUCACUGAUAAGUGCAUUAGAACAAAUGAAAAAGGCCUUUGGAAUUAAAGCCGUUGGAUUAACGAGUUUGUAUCAAAAAGAUUUGGUCUUAUACUUUCAUCUUAUACCUUAUAAAUACAUUUGAAAAAGAAAACUCUAAUUGCAAAUAAUUUUUCAUUUUUUCAUUUAAAAGUGAUCAAAUUAACCUUUAUUGUGAGGUCUAAAAGAUGCGAUUCAAAUUGUAUUCUUCGCACAAUUAGAUUAAUUGCACUUAGCUGGAACAAGAUUAACAAAUAUAUGCUCUCAAAUGAUACAAUACUGAAAAAUAUAAACGGUUACAAAAUAGAUUCAUUAUUAUUUUGGAGGUUUGAGUAAGUUGAAGCAUCUCGGCUUAAGUGGUAACAAACUCAACCUCAACUGUAGCGUCUUAUCUUCUCCAUCUUCGUUAAGAGAAUUAUAUGGGAUUCAAAGGAAUUUUUUAUGUUUAAGGUAAUUAAGCCUAAGCCUGCUUCUCAUUUCAUCUACUACAUAUAUAACUUUAUAGAUUUUAACAAUAUUUAAUAUUAUGAUUAGUUCAGAGGAAUCAAAUUCUAACAGGCUUUAUUAAGCAAACUUUCAUUUACUCUAUCAAUUCUAACAGGUCAAUGUUUGGCAUGCCACAUUGCAUAGGGCAAUUGCUCGCCCUCGUAUUGAUUGAAAAGAAUCUCAUGUUUGGUUCAAAUGGUGCGCAUCACACAAGACUUAAUGCUGCAUUUGCCUCAUUAUCGAAACCCAUCAACCCCCUCGGAAUUAAGGUGUGCAACAUUAAUUUUUAAGAAUAAAAUCUCAAGGUUUUGAGAAAUGAUUAUAUAAAUCAUCAUAUUCUCAAUAAGGGAUUUUAAAAUCCCAUUUUGACUAAAAUACCAUUUGGUUCUAUCAACUCAAAAAAAUUGACUCUAAUAUUUUAUAAUAAAUAGAAAUAUAAUAUUAAAAUAAAUAUAAUAAUUUAUAUUUUAAAAAUAUUUUAUAUAUUAAAAUAAAUAUAAUAUUAUUAUUCUACUAGACAAAUUAAACUAUCUAGAUUAUAUUUAUAUUCAUUAAAAAAUUUUAAAUCAAUUUUUUUAGUUACUAUCUACUAAGAAUAUUAUAGUCAAAAGGGGAUUUUAAUGUCCCUUAAAAAUUUAGGCAUCUACAUGACCAUUUCCAUUUAUCAAAUGAAAGCUUCCGUCAAAAGGAUAUUAUAGUCAAAAGGGGAAAUGUAGGUGUCUACAUGACCAUUUCUGUUGAUCAAAUGAAAGCUUUCGUCCCUGUAGAUCUAUGGUCAAAAUUUGGAAUCUCGAAAAUUUGACCAUAUAUUUGCAGCUAAUGAAAGCUUCUUUUCUGGUGAUACAUGUAUCGUUGCAUAGAUUUUGUGAUAAUAAUUCCAAUGGUGAAAAAAUGAUAUCAAUAGAUGCCAAAAUGUGAUCAGAGGGGGUGGUUUGUGGUGGUCAACGGUGGAUAAUUAUAUUUUAUUUAUAAAUUUAAAUAAUAGAUUUAAGAAAAUAAGAACAAAAACAUUUAAGAUAUUAAUAAUUAUUAAAAAUUAAUUGAAUAUAAAUAAUAAUUUUAAAAAUAUUAUUAUAUAUAAUGAUAUACAAUGUAACACCAAACAUUGAAUAUUAUUAAAGUAAUACAAUGUUAAUACAAUAUAGCUUACUGCAAUACAUUUUGCAUUAAAUAAUGUAAUACAGUAUGCUAAAUGCACCCUUAGUGUCACACUUUUUAAACAACCUUGGGCCAUUCUUUUUUUUCUUUUUUUUUUAAUUCUUAAUGACUUUGUCAUUGACUUAAUUUCGAUCAGUUAAGCCAUUAAAUCCAUUUGGUUUUCAACUUAAUGAAAAUUUUCAGUCACUAAAUCAUUAAGUUAUUAAUCAAAUUCUUUUAGCUUUUUGCUUAAUCUAAAAAGUUUUAAAGAUAUCAUUAAAGAAUAUUCUCCAGAUACCCUAUUUAAUUAAUUAAUUUUCAUCCUUACCUAAAUAAAAAUUAAAAAAUUGGAUUUUACCAUCUUUAUAACUUAUGACAAUAUAGCGAUAGACUAUUAUUAUUUUUAUUUUUUAUUUUCUUCAAAUUAGCAUUAUUUAUCUUCAUAAUUUUUUAUGAAUUUUUUUAUAGAAAAACAUCAUGAACUUCAAUAAAACUUAUUAACAUAUACAAAUUUAGAAUUUAAAAUAUCGUAUUCAAUUGAAAAUGAUUUAUGUUAUGAUAAUAUAUAAUCUCAACUAAGUUCUUUCAAUAUUUAUUAUUUAUUUAACAUUCAUAAUUUAAGGUACAAUGUAAAAAUACUAAUUUUCAGAUUUUUUAAAUUAAAAAAAUAAACAACUUAAUAUUUGUUUUUUGUAAUUUAGCAAAAAAAAUGAGCAUAUUAUUUAGAUUCAGACAUCCAAUUCAAUUCAGAAUUUUAACUAAUUAAGGUCUAUUCAAAUUUUAGACAAAAAAACAAAUGCAAACAUCAACUUUUUUUAUUUUACAAAUUAAAAAGAUGAUUGGAUUUCAACCCAUUUGUUUGGCCUUAAAGGAGCCAGUGUUCUUACCAUUUGAAUUAGCCUUCGCCUCAACUUCAACUUUAUUCUUGGCAUGCAACGCUGGUCGAUAUCAACUUAAAUUUUGCUAUGUUAAUUAUUUCAAUCCCCACGUUGUGCAUUCUUUGUAGCGAAAACCUAAUUACACACCUAAAUAAGUUGAUGAUCAUUACUCAACCAUUAAUAUUUCAAGAAGUCAUUUCACCAUCCGUGCUAUUAGUUUUUCCCUUAAAUUUAACUAUUGACUAUUUUACCAUCUUAAAGUGUAUAAUUAUGCCUUUAAUUAUGUGAUACAAUUAUGAAAAUAUUCAUUUUAGCUUAAAAUAACUAAAAUACCCAUAAACUUAACUUAAAUUAAUAAAAUAAAACUAUCAACUCCUUGAAGAAUUCAACAUAUAUAAUACUAUAGCUAUUAAUAAAUUUUGAUUAUUCAAUAUAUAUGCUAAAAUAUUUUAUACAUUUAGUAACCGUUAUAUAGCUUAAGGAUGAAUGAUUCUUCAGGUCUAUAGAGUUGGUGCAUCUGCAAAACUUAUUUAUUAACCAUAAUGAUCUAAGGGGUAAUUUACCUUAGUGCUUGGCAAAAAUAACCUCCCUUCAAGGUUUGGGCGUCACUUUCAGUUAACUUACUAUAAAUAUCUCCUCAUCUCCCCUCAUAUCUAUAAUGAUCCUUGAAGAUCUCACAUUUUCAAACAAUCACUUCCAAAUUUCAACAUCACGUGAGCCAUUCUUAAAGUAAAUAGUUAAAUUCAUAAAUUGUUAACUAAUUCCAUGCAUAAAGCCUCCUUAAAAGAUAAUUUUAUUAGUUGUUUCCUUUUAAGUUAAUUCGUAUUUUAAACAAAAACGUUUAAGUUGUAUAUAUCAUAGUGAGAGUUUCUUCAGAACAACUCCCUUUAGAGUAAUGAUACAGCCACAAACUCUUGUACAAACUUAUUUUGUACAAACUGAUGUGGCAUGAUAAGAUUGGUUGAAUUAAACAUCACUUGGCCCACAUGAUUUGUUUUUAUUAAUUUAUAUUUUCAUUCAACCAAUGAAUUAAUGCCACGUCAAUUUGUACAAAAUAAGUUUGUACAAGAGUUUGUGGCUGUAUCAUUACUCCUCCCUUUAUUCUAACAUACAUAGAGAUGACAAUUGGAUCGCUCCAUAAUGGAUAUCAAUAAUAUCCAUCCAAUUGGAUUAGAUAAUAUCCAUCCAAAAAUUUCUGGAUCUUAAAAUAGAUAUUUUAAAAUUAUAUCCAGAUAGAUAUGAAUAAUUAUUUUUACCCAAUGGAUAUCUAUUUAACCCAACACAAUUUUAAAAAGUUUUAAUUUUAUAAAAUUAAAAAUGAAAAAUGUAAUAAACAAACAAUUGUAAAAAGAAAAAAAUGAUUUUAAUUUGGCAAACUCUCGGUCUCUCCCUCUGAUGGCUUCGAGCACCACGAGCUUCCUCUGCUGCAGACGAAGACGAAGUCGUCUUAGAAUCCGUUAAUCGAUGUCUCAACCGGAACUUCAUUUUCCGGUUUGUGAAAGAAACGGUCGUUCCGGCAAUCCCGACCGGCAACGGUUUUUCCACGGCAGGACGAGAACGCGCCUUCCCAGUAGCGGCGCGAUCCAGAGACUGAAUCGGUAGGGGGAGCGAGUCGAGAAGGAAGUCGCUUGUCGGCUGAUGCCUUUUGACGGCGACUCUCAUGUUCGUGUUGUGUUUUCGGAGACGGCCUGAGUGCGUGGAACAGAUCUUCAAAGCAACUGAGAUUUGUGCUUAUCGCAGGGCAGUCGCUGAACGAACCGGUGGUGCAGUACGGCCCUUUCCUGAUGAAUUCACAAGCUGAAAUUGAUCAAACCAUUGAGGACUAUCAACUUUGCAAAAAUGGGUUUGAAAAUGCCAAGUACUGGAGGUCUCAGUCUCAAUGAGUGAGAGAGCAAACCCCAAUCCCACAAUCCCAAAAAGAAUAAAAAGAUAAUAAUAACAAAAGGAAGCGGCUGCAAUUCUAUCCCAAUCAAGUAGGAAAUUGAAAAAGAAAGGCCUUCUAGAAGGAGAUUCAAAGUGCAUAUUGAGUUGUGUGGGGGAGCAACUUCGUUUACCACUAAAGUCAUUAUGUUGAUGGGUCGGCUUAUCUUUUUGAUAUUGAUGGAAUUCGCUGCUGUUUUGCACACCAUGUUCGUGUUGUGUUCGAUAAUUUGCUUCACUGAAGUGAAGUGACGAAGGCUCAUGCGACGGACUAAGCUGCAAUUGUUUUUUCAAAUUGUUUAAAAUAAUUUUAAUUAGCUUUUAAAAUUAAUAAUUUUAGGAAAUAAAAAAUAAAAAAAUAAUUUUUUAAUGUAAUACAUCAUUAAUUAAUUUUUACUUUAUUUUAAAAUUUAGAAAUACAAAUUUAAUGUCCAUGGACAUCCAUGGAUAUCCAUAUUUGUGUGGAUAAAAUCCAUAUCCAUAUCCAAUAUUAAAUAUUAGAUAUGGAUAUGGAUAAAUCCAUCAUGAAUAAUCAUGGAUUUAUACGUGGGUGGACAAUAUCCAUAUCCAUCUGGAUAUUUGCCAUCCCUAAUAUAUAUAUAUAUAAGAAAAUUUUAAUUAGUUAAUUGCUUGAAAUUUUCUUAUAUGAAAUUAUUAAAAGUGGUUUGAAUUUUUUAUAAUUAUAUUUUAAAGUAUGGUGCGUAUGCACAAUUUGAGAAAUGAAAAUAUCACCACCCAUAUUUUAAUAUACUUUUUAUUUAAUUAGAAACUAUUGUUCUUUUCUUUACGGCAUAUAUUGUUAAUAUUUAUGGAGAAUAUCCAUUUUGAGAAUCACUAACCAUUCUUUCAAGUCAUUAUCUCUAGGCUUGUUCAUUACUCCUCGUAUAAUAAUAAAUAUUUAAAUAUUGAUACAUGAAUAUAAAAAAUAAAUCAAUAAUAUUAAUUAAAUAAUAAUUUUUGAAAUUUUAGGACUAGUAUGCUAAAUUAACAAUUCGAUAAAUUUAGACGAUCAUAUAUUAUAAAAAAAAAUCUUAUUUUUUUAUUGUACUCAAAUACUAUAUAAAUUAAUAGUUAAUUUACUUGCAACUAAAUUAAUAGGAUAUGCACGUACAUGGGCGGCUUUUGUGAAAUUUGGUUUUACUGUUCUUUUCUUGAAAUGGUUGUCGGCUUGAUCUCAUGUCCAAUUUCACUAGCGUUUUAAAUAAAUUUGUGCAAGAUAGGCUCAAUAGUAGAAAGAACUACCAUUUGAGGCAUGCACAAAUAUCUAAUUUCUUAUUUUAAUUAAUAAACAAUUACAUAAACAUAAGACUUUAAUAUAGUCGAAGUGGCUAAAUAAGCGGACGGGCAUCUUAUAGUUUGCUCGUGUUCGUAUAUCCAAGUACUGAUGGAUUUGUAGUAGCAAAUGCAAGCAGUUCUUGGUCACGUUCAAAAAAGGCCAUGUCUUCGGGGCUCAGAGUCACCAAUACUUCUAUUCCCUUACCAUCGUUUGUGUCCAUUAGCAUAAUCAAGUUUGACACCGAAUAAUUUGGAAAAGUCAGGUGCACUGGCUUUCCCCAUCCAAAAUCUGCUGCUUCAUAAUAUGGAAAGUUAACAAUACUGGAGAAAGUGUAGAAAUCGAUCUCAUCUUUUUCAAACUUGUCUUUAAUUGACUCCGGAAUAUCGAAUAUACUCUUGUUUUCUAGCAAGGUUUUGAGACCGUUUCGUCUAAAUUCUGCCUUUGCUUUCCUUAAUGAACAAACCAAGUCUUGUAGUGUUUCAAUUUCCUUUUCACUCGCCUGCGCCAUCAGAUACGCGACGGAGUUGCCCACAGAGUUGUCAGGCAAGGGUGGGUCGGCCACGGCACGCACGUUUAUCGCGUGUGCUGACAAAGAAGGUCUUGAAUACCCGAGGUUUGAUCUUGACGCAGCCCUUGCACACUUCCAAAUAAGUGCAGUCAGUGCCUCGACGCGUGAUGGUCUAGGCACGCUUGCACUUGAAACUUCAGCCCUGAGUCGGUCAAUUUUCUUUGUAUCAAAUACAAACCUGUUUGCUUGGACUGGUGAAAUAUGUAAAGGUAAGGGCACGAAGGAUUCACUUGCCGGAAAAAUCGUUUAUGCAACAAAUCUAGGAACCACUUCCUUAUUACCUGCACGAGCUGUGGUGGUCCAGCUGUUAACAAAUAUACCUAACGAGACUCCAUCAAUGAGCUUGUGACAAGUGUAAACUGUGAUUGCCAGCCGCAUUUGAAAAAAGUUGCUUGUAUGCGCAUCAUUGGACCCCCGUUGCUUGCUACUGGAGAUUCUGCGUAGUUAAACGGGUGAAAAUCCCGUAAUAGAUUCUGAUCAGGCUUUUGAGGGUAUUCAAACAAAAAGCCGUUUGCAAAAGCUUCAACAUACUCAGCCCCUUCGUCGUUACAUUCAAUUGAGAAAUCGUCUUUGACCCUCCCAGCAAGUGGGUAGAAUUUUGUGAGAGUUUAAAAGCAAAAUAAACAGGUGUUUAUUAUAUAUCUUGAUUUUCAUUGAUUAUGUGAUCAAAGUGUCAAUUUUGAUUAAUUUCUUUUUCAACAUUAACUUUUAGGUUAUCUUAGUUUUAAGUAUUUAGAAUAUUUGGUCAUGGAUUACACGCUUGUUAAUUUUUUUCAGCCAUUGACUAUCAUAUUCUAGACUUAACGGUACUUUUCUUGAUCAGGAUAAUAAUUCUCUCUUUACCUCUUAUAAUUAUCAUAUUAAUUAAUUUAUUGUUACAGUUAAUAGUCUUUAAAAAUGGAUAGAUUUAUUGUUUUGAUUACUAAAUAAUGCUUAAGGCUGCGACUAUGAACAAAAUUAGUAGUUAAUGUAAUAUGUUAAUAGAUUUAAGAUUUUAUAGAUUACUAAUUGUUAUAAGUUAAAGGAUGAAUUAUUUUUUCAGGCCAAUGAGUUAGUGCAUCUGCAAGAUAUUUUUUUUUUAAUUCUUAUAUUGACCAUAACUAUCUUAAGGGUAUAAUAAUAUGUUUUAGUGCUUGGCAAAAGAUGACAUCUACCUUUAAGUUUGAGACGUCUCUUUCCAUCAAUUUACUCGUAAUAUCUCCUCAUCUACCCUCGUUUAUCUUAUGUCAAUAGAAGAUCUCACAUUUUCAAACUAUCAUUUCCAAAUCUCAAUAUCGCUUGAGCAAUUCAAAACAGAUCAAGUGCGGAAAUAUCCAAAUACACGUAAUAAUAGAGCCACAUUCUUUUGCCUCCAAAAUUCUAAUUAUAUGACUUCUACAUAUCUCAUUGUCUGGUCACAAGAUGUUGGCAAAUUUUCCAAAUUCCUCUUCCAUCAACAUCACUAGGAGUAUGUUAAUCUCUAACAUGUUAACUUGAGUGGAGAGUUUCUAACUUGACACACUUGAUAAUUCUCUUUCGGUAAAAUUUAAUUAAUUUUAGGGGAAUGUUCAGCCAACCUAUAGAAUUUCAGAUUGAGCAUUAGACUAUACAAAUUGAUAAAGUGAUUAGAUGUUAAUUUGCUGACGAUACAUGUUCAUGACUUGAAAUUAGAUCUCUAUGGAUUGGUAUACAAAUGGACGUACUGGUGGUGAUAAUUGAACCAAAACAUAUGAAGCUAUAAAGAUUUGGCAACUAGAAAUUGAUGAAGAGGGUUUCAAGUAGCUUUAUUUUUUCAAUUAGCCUUCUGUUAGAAAAACACAAAACAGUGAGAUAACAAAUUAUAUAUUAGCUAAGCAACGAAAACAAUGAGAAACAGAAAGCGUAACAGAAGAGAGAGGAAACCAAAAAUAGAAAAUGCAAUGGAACCGAGGCCUGCACAAAAUAGUCUCCUUAAAACAUAUUUACUGCCUAUUUGGAGUGCUUAAGGUCUGCUGGUAUCUGCUUCCCAGGAUACAACGGAUACGAAUUUUCAGUCAAGCACUGGCUGGAAAUUCCGGCGAACCACCACAAUAAACUCGAUCAGAGAAAAACGAAGAAGGAUGAAGGACAAACAGCAAGUAUGCUCUGUGCUUGUUUUAGUUUUUCGAGUGUGUAAAAACAGAAGUGAAGAUGCCUUUUUAUACUCAAGGGAGGAUGUAACAGCUGCUUUGGUAUUGAAUUUCUGAAUUCAAUAUGUUUUAAUCAAUUGUUAUAACAGCCAUGAAUUGAUUUCAAACUUGAAUAAAAAAAACGUGAAUAAUAGCUAAAAAUUAAUUGUAAAAGCUGUUUCAAAUUUCUUUGAAUUCAAAACAUUAAACUGUUACAAAAAUUCAAAAGGAAAUUAAAACGUGCCACUUUUGUUAAGUGAGACCCACUCAAAAUAUGCCCUCAAAAUAGCAUGUUAUGUUAUUUUGACAACAAUCCCCCACAUGAAUGAAAAUUAGCAGUAAAAACAGGAAAACAGCUAAAUUUUGACAUCAAAACUAUUUUUGACUUUUAAUGAUUGAGUUUAUUGGAUUGAUACCUAGCACAGGAUAGGUAGGUGUUAUCCUUUGAACCUUCCCUUGUAAUAGUAUAAUUACUUUACUAGCUGAUCAGUAGACACGAUGUCUUUGAACUAUUCUGCCAUUAGUGUAAACGAUCAUAUACUACACAUAGGUAUUUCUCCUAACACUGUUGAGUUCUCAUGAUUAUGUUCGUUUUGGCCUUGAACAUCUGCCUGGUUCUGCAAGAGUUUCUAAGAGCUGAACCCUUUAUAGCUCCCUUUGAAGCGACCCCACUUCUCUCUCACAUAGGUGAUAUCUUAAUUAAGAGUAACCCGCAUUACUCCGCUCGAAUUUUCGACGCAUAAGAAUCAUUAAGAGCCUAGCUCAACCUUAUUCCCCACGGGCAUUACUGUUUCAUCAUAGGAAUGGUCAAUGAGGUAAUCCUCUCAAGAGAAUGACCCCCACAGUGAUCCAUCUUUAGUCUUUAACAAAUAGGUUGUCCAAUUGAACCUAGAUCUUGGGAUCUCCAGUCUACUAGGUUAGGUUUUCCUUCUUUAUUGACUAAUCAAUCUAUAGGUUUUAAUCUCAUCCCCCUCGAUGAUUUUUCUACUAGCUCUCUAUUUAACCCUUUGGUUAGCGGAUCCGCUAUGUUAUCCUUUGACCUUACAUAGUCAAUAGAAAUAACUCCAAUAGAAAUAAGUUGUCUAAUGGUAUUAUGUCUACGAUGUAUGUGUCUAGACUUACCAUUAUACAUAUUGCUUUGUGCCCUACCGAUAGCUGAUUGACUAUCGCAAUGUAUACAAAUUGUAGGCACAGGCUUUGGCCAUUUUUGGAAUACCUUCUAAAAAAUUACGUAGCCAUUCUGCUUCUUCACCAUAUUUAUCUAAUGCAAUGAAUUCAGAUUCCAUUGUAGAUCUAGCAAUUACUAUCUGUUUAGAUGAUCUCCAUGAUACAGCUGCACCUGCUAGUGUAAACACAUAGUCGCUAGUAGAUUUUGAAUCUUUUACAUCUGAUAUCCAGUUAGCAUCACUAAAUCCUUCUAAUACUUCUGGAUACCUAGUAUAGUGCAGUCCAUAAUUACGAGUGUAUCGAAGAUACCUAAGUACUCUUAUGAUAGCUUUCCAAUGAUCAGUUCCUGGAUUACUCGUAUAUCUACUAAGUUUGCUUAUUGUAUAAGCUAGAUCUGGUCUGGUACAAUUUGUUAAGUACAUCGGACUACCUAUUAUUCUAGCAUAUUCAACUUGAGAAAUACCAUUUCCUCUGUUUUUCGAUAGAUAAAUACUAGUAUCUAAUGGAGUUUUAGACAUAGUAUUAUCCUCUUUAUUAAAUUUCUCAAGAAUUUUAUCUACAUAAUGAGUUUGACUUAAAAUAAGUCCAUUAGAAGCCCUUGAGAUUUUAAUUCCCAAAAUGACAUCUACGAGACCCAUGUCUUUCAUGUCAAACUUAGACUUCAAUAUAUUCUUGGCAGAUUUAAUCAUGUCAUCAUUACUCCCAACAAUGAGCAUGUCAUCAACAUAUAAACAUAAAAUGACAUAGCCAUUUUCUGUUUCUUUGACAUAAACACAUUUGUCACACUCGUUGAUCUUUAAGCCACUUGUGAUCAUCGUAUGAUCAAAUUUUUCAUGCCACUGUUUCGGUGCUUGUUUCAAGCCCUAUAAUGACUUAACCAAUUUACAAACUUUCUUUUCUUGUCCUGGAGCUAUAAAACCUUCAGGUUGCUCCAUGUAGAUUUCUUCAUCUAAAUCUCCAUUUAGAAAAGCCAUCUUUACAUCCAUUUGAUGUAUCUCGAGAUUGCGCAAAGCUGCAAUGGCUAUUAUCAUCAGUAUGGAAUUUAUUCUCGUAACAGGAGAAUAAGUAUCAAAAUAAUCAAGGCCUUCUCGUUGCCUAUAACCUUUAAUUACACGCCUUGCCUUUUACUUAUCGAUUGAUCCAUCGGCUUUCAUUUUCCGUUUGAAAAUCCACUUAUACCCCAAAGGUUUACAUCCUGGAGGAAGAUCUACUAGCUCCCAAGUAUGAUUUUGUAAAAUGGAUUCAACUUCACUGUUAAUGGCUUCUUUCCAUAAAGUGCCUUCAGCUGAAGUUACAGCCUCUUUGAAGCUUUGAGGUUCAUUUUCUAGCAAAUACGCCAGAAAGUCUGGACCAAAAGACUUUUCUAUUAUAGCUCUUUUACUAUGUCUAACCUCAAUUUCUUGUUCUUCUUCUUCUUCUGGUGCUUGAUCAUUUUCUUCAUUUUCAAGUGUUAUUUCAUGAAAUUGUUCCAAUUCUCUCGAUUCCACUCUGGAAUUGUAAGGAAACACAUGUUCGAAAAACGAUGCAUUUCUUGAUUCUAUUAUUGUGUUUUUGUGGACAUCUGAAAUUUUAGACUCAUGCACCAAAAUUCGAUAUGCACUACUAUUUUGUGCAUAACCAAUGAAAAUGCAGUCAACAGUUUUUGGUCCUAUUUUCACUUUUUUAUUUAAAGGAACCACUACUUUAGCAAGACACCCCCACACUCGUAAGAAUUUAUAUGAAGGUGAUCUACCUUUCCAUAGCUCAUACGGGGUUGUAUCUUCUUGCUUUCGGGGUAUCUUAUUUAAUAAAUAAUUAGCUAACAAAACAGCUUCUCCCCACAUAUUCUGGGGUAACCCAGAACUUAUCAACAUUGCAUUCAUCAUUUCCUUUAAAGUUCGAUUCUUUCGUUCUGCAAUCCCAUUAGAUUGAGGUGAAUAUGGAGCCGUGACUUGAUGUAUGAUUCCACUUUGUUCAUACAGUGACAUAAACGGAACAAUAUACUUGUUGUGCAAAUUUUAAUGUACUCGCAAGCGCACGAAUCUAUUGUAGUAUAGAUCAAUGGUGACGAGUGUCGAUCCCACGAGGAGGGAGAUUUUAAUUGUGUAGAAUUAAUUUUGUGAAUGGGUGAUUGGAUUUGUGGUGGAAAUGAUUUGGAAUAUGCUAAAACUUAAAUUAAAAUGGCGAGAAUAAAUUAUAAAAUUGGUAUUGAAAUGGUGAGAAUAAAUUGAAGAGAAUUUUAUUGAAAUGACGUACUUGGGUAUCUGGAUCCGUAUCAACAUGCAUUAUGGGCUAAAUAAUCCUUAUUAAUGCCAAUUAAAUCAUGAGGGGGGAAUCCACACCUCAUGAACCACACUCGAAUCAAUAUGGUGCUAAGGGCUUAUCGUGCCAAAUAAUAAUAACCUUGUACUAGGGGGCCGGUGAAACCAAGGCGGUACUAGACAAGAUUAGUAUUAUUUGUCGACGAGAAGUCAAAACAUCCACAAAAAUUAGAGGGGAAGAGAAAAUAAAUUUACCAAAUUAAGCCCAUGACACAUGUUGAGACUUCAUCUUCAACCCAAGCUUGAAAGAAAAUUAGCUACUCAUAAUUGAACUAGGGGCAAAAUGAGAAUUUAUUAAAAUACAAGAUGGAGAGGGAAUUACAGAAAAUGGAGUCCAAAAAUGGAUUCAGAGCUAUCAAAUUAGGGGGGGAAGGCCCUCUUUUUAUAGAUACAUUGAGUAAAUCAUGGCCAUCGGAUUAAAAACAGUUUGGACGCUCAGGAUUGCGCCACGUCAUCAGUCAACAGUACGCGGUUUGACCACGCGGGUGAAUAGUAACACGGUUUGACCCGGGUGAACAGUGACGCGGUUUGGUUGAAAAUAAUCUUGUGUGAUGCAUGUACCGUACGCUAGAUUUUUUUUCCACUGAUAUGCUGCCACGUCACCAUCAACAGUACAUAAGAAUUUUAGUCCAACAGGAUUGUGACACCUCAUCAGUCAAUGCCACAUCAUCGGUCAAUGCCACGUCAUUGUCCGUCUAUGUGAACAGUGCCAUGAACAGUAACGUAUACAGUACCGUACACGUGAAUAGUACCGUACAUGUGAACAGUGCCAUUUUUCCUUUUAUGCUCCUCCUAAGGUUUUCGACCGUCCUGAGUUCAAAAGUGAUGUCCGUUUUGCCAUCUGAUCUCUCGUUUAUUGUGAAAUGACUACGAUGCCCCUAAAAUACAUAAAAUACUUAAUUAAAAUAAAGCACACGGAAUUAAAUCAAAAGAAGGUUAAAUUCAUAAAAGUAAAGGUGUUAGUAAAACUUGUAGUGUAAAAUGACGAUUUUCUCCUUUAUAAAUAUACAUUUUCUAACACCCAACAAUACUCACCACUACGGUCACUCCUUAAUUCUUUAAUUUUUCUAUUAAGUUGAUUCUCAACUUCAUUUUUGUAAAGAAUAAACUUAUCCAAAGCUUUAUCUUUACUUUUCAAUAAAUAUACAUAGCAAUAUUUUGUGCAAUCAUCUAUAAAGGUAAUAAAAUAUUUAUUACCACUUAUUGUUUGAAUGGAUUUAAAGUCACAAAUAUCACUAUGUAUUAAAUCAAGUGGUUUGGUGUUUCUUUGAAUUAUUUGGAAAGACGACCUAGUUAGUUUUGCCUCAACACAAGUUUCACACUUAUGUUUCAAAUCAAUUUGGAAAUUGGGAAUAUGCUUCAUGUUAAUUAAUUUACGCAAAGAAUUAAAAUUAACAUAUCCUAAUCUACCGUGCCAAAGAUUAGAAGACUCGAGCAAAUAAGCAGAAGAAGUAGCUUUAUUAUUAAUUGUUGGUUUCAGAGUCAUUACAUUGAGCUUAAAUAGCCCAUCAUUACCGCCUAUUUGGAGUGCUUAAGGUCUGCUGGUAUCUGCUUCCCAGGAUACAAAGGAUACGAAUUUUCAGUCAAGCACUAGCUGGAAAUUCCGGCGAACCACCACAGUAAACUCGAUCAGAGAAAAACGAAGAAGGAUGAAGGACAAACAACAAGUAUGCUCUGUGCUUGUUUUAGUUUUUCGAGUGUGUAAAAACAGAAGUGAAGAUGCCUUUUUAUACUCAAGGGAGGAUGUAACAGCUGCUUUGGUAUUGAAUUUCUGAAUUCAAUAUAUUUUAAUCAAUUGUUAUAACAGCCAUGAAUUGAUUUCAAACUUGAAUAAAAAAAAAUGUGAAUAACAGCUACAAAUUAAUUGUAAAAGCUGUUUCAAAUUUCUUUGAAUUCAAAACAUUAAACUGUUACAAAAAUUCAAAAGGAAAUUAAAACGUGCCAAGCUUGCAUAGAUGAUUUUGGGCCGACAUUCGUGUACGCAGGACACGCGGGCGCACAUGAGUUCAACCAAAUCGGUCUUGGAUUUGCACCCCCCCGCGCACGCGCGUGUGGAGAGAGCCUUUAUCCUUAUAAUUCUUACUAAUGCAUGGUUAAGUGUUUAUAUUUAAACACUAAUUCCCAGGCUUCUUUUUCCCAUGUGGGAUAAGCCUCAUUUCCUUUCAAAUUCUCAACUUCAAAGGUGAACUUUGAGAGACAAUUUCUCAUUCACCCAAGCACCAUUUUGAGAAAAUAAAAUUAUACUUUUGAAGUAUGAACGGAGUAGAAUCCGAAUCUCACAAUAUUUUCCACUUUCGUUAAGUGAGACCCACUCAAAAUGUGCCCUCAAAAUAGCAUGUUAUGCUAUUUUUUCAACAAUCCCCCACAUGAAUGAAAAUUGGCAAUAAAAAUAGGAAAACCGCUAAAUUUUGACAUCAAAACUAUUUUUGACUUGUAAUGAUCGAGUUUAUUGGAUUGAUACCUAGCACAUGAUAGGUAGGUGUUAUCCUUUGAACCUUCCCUUGUAAUAGUAUAAUUACUUUACUAGCUGAUCAGUAGACGCGAUGUCUUUGAACUGUUUUGCCAUUAGUGUAAACGAUCAUAUACUACACAUAGGUAUUUCUCCUAACACUGUUGAGUUCUCAUGAUUAUGUUCAUUUUGGCCUUGAACAUCUGCCUGGUUCUGUAAGAGUUUCUAAGAGCUGAACCCUUUAUAGCUCCCUUUGAAGCGGCCCCACUUCUCUCUCACAUAGGUGAUAUCUUAAUUAAGAGUAACCCGCAUUACUCCACUCGAAUUUUCGACGCAUAAGAAUCAUUAAGAGCCUAGCUCAACCUUAUUCCCCACGGGCAUCACUGUUUCAUCAUAGGAAUGGUCAAUGAGGUAAUCCUCUUAAGAGAAUGACCCCCACAGUGAUCCAUCUUUAGUCUUUAACAAUAGGUUGUCCAAUUGAACCUAGAUCUUGGGAUCUCCAGUCUACUAGGUUAGGUUUUCCUUCGUUAUUGACUAAUCAAUCUAUAGGUUUUAAUCUCAUCCCCCUCGAUGAUUUUUCUACUAGCUCUCUAUUUAACCCUUUGGUUAGCGGAUCCGCUAUGUUAUCCUUUGACCUUACAUAGUCAAUAGAAAUAACUCCAGUAGAAAUAAGUUGUCUAAUGGUAUUAUGUCUACGACGUAUGUGUCUAGACUUACCAUUAUACAUAUUGCUUUGUGCCCUACCGAUAGCUGAUUGACUAUCACAAUGUAUACAAAUCGUAGGCACAGGCUUUGGCCAUUUUGGAAUACCUUCUAAAAAAUUGCGUAGCCAUUCUGCUUCUUCACCACAUUUAUCUAAUGCAAUGAAUUCAGAUUCCAUUGUAAAUCUAGCAAUUACUAUCUGUUUAGAAGAUCUCCAUGAUACAGCUGCACCUGCUAGUGUAAACACAUAGCCGCUAGUAGAUUUUGAAUCUUUUACAUAUGAUAUCCAGUUAGCAUCACCAAAUCGGUCUUGGAUUUGCACCCCCCCUGCGCAUGCGCGUGUGGAGAGAGCCUCUAUCCUUAUAAUUCUUACUCAUGCAUGGUUAAGUGUUUAUAUUUAAACACUAAUUCCCAGGCUUCUUUUUCCCAUGUGGGAUAAGCCUCAUUUCCUUUCAAAUUCUCAACGUCAAAGGUGAACUUUGAGAGACAAUUUCUAUUCACCCAAGCACCAUUUUGAGAAAAUAAGAUUAUGCUUUUGAAGUAUGAACGGAGUAGAAUCCGAAUCUCACAAUAUUUUCCACUUUCGUUAAGUGGGACCCACUCAAAAUGUGCCCUCAAAAUAGCAUGUUAUGCUAUUUUUUCAACAAUCCCCCACAUGAAUGAAAAUUGGCAAUAAAAAUAGGAAAACCGCUAAAUUUUGACAUCAAAACUAUUUUUGACUUGUAAUGAUCGAGUUUAUUGGAUUGAUACCUAGCACAUGAUAGGUAGGUGUUAUCCUUUGAACCUUCCCUUGUAAUAGUAUAAUUACUUUACUAGCUGAUCAGUAGACGCGAUGUCUUUGAACUGUUUUACCAUUAGUGUAAACGAUCAUAUACUACACAUAGGUAUUUCUCCUAACACUGUUGAGUUCUCAUGAUUAUGUUCGUUUUGGCCUUGAACAUCUGCCUGGUUCUGUAAGAGUUUCUAAGAGCUGAACCCUUUAUAGCUCCCUUUGAUUGUUACAAGUUAAUGGAUUAAUUAUUUUUUCAGGCCAAUGAGUUACUGCAUCUGCAAGAUUUGACCAUAAUUACCUUAAGGGUAUAAUAAUAUGCUUUAGUGCUUAGCAAAAUAUAAUAUCUCCCUUUAAGUUUGAUACGUCUCUUUCCAUCAAUUUACUUGUAAUAUCUCCUCAUCUACCCUGGAUUAUCUUAUAUCAAUUGAAGAUCUCACAUUUUCAAACUAUCAUUUCCAAAUCUCAAUAUAACUUGAGCCAUUCAAAACAGAUCACGUGUGGAAAUAACCAAAUAUACGUAAUAACAGAGCCACAUUCUUUUGCCUCCAAAAUUCUAAUUAUAUAACUUCUACAUAUCUCAUUGCCUGGUCACAAGAUGUUGGCAUAUUUUCCAAAUUCCUCUUCCAUCAACAUCACUAGGAGUAUGUUAAUCUCUAACACGUUAAUUUGAGUGGAGAGUUUCCAACUUGACCGCCAGAAAGCAAUACAAAGCUAGACACACCUGAUAAUUCUCUUUCGGUAAAAUUUAAUUAAUUUUAAGGGAAUGUUCGGUCAACCUAUAGAAUUUCAUAUUGAACAUUAGAAUAUACAAAUUGAUAGAGUGAUUAGAUGUUAAUUUGCUGACGAUACAUAGAUCUCUGUCGAUUGGUAUACAAAUGGACGUACUUGUGGUGAUAAUUGAACCAAAAGAUAUGAAGCUAUAAAGAUUUGGCGCCUGUAAAAUGAUGAAGUGGGUUUUAAGUAGCUUUAGGUGCGUUUGGAAUUGAGGUACAAUAUUUUCCACUUUCGUUAAGUGGGACCCACUCAAAAUGUGCCCUCAAAAUAGCAUGUUAUGCUAUUUUUUCAACACCUUCUGCCUAAAAGGAUAAUUUUACUAGUUUUUUGCUUUUAAGUUAAUUUUCAUUUCAAACAAAAAUGUUUAAGUCGUAUGUAUUAUAGUGAGAGUUUACAGAGCAAUUCUCUUCUUCAAAUAAUAAAGGAAAAGAAGUAAUUUAAAAGUAAAAUAAACAAAUGUUAAUUAUAUGUCCUGAUUUUCAUCGAUUAUGUGAUCAAAGCUAGAAUUUUGAUUUCUUCUUGUUCAAUGUUAAUUUUUAGAUUAUAUUAAUUUCAAGGAUUUAAAAUAUUUGGUCUUAUGCUAGACUUGAUGGUACCCAUUUUUAUUAGAGGUAAUGAGUACUAUUUCUCCUAUUAUAAGAAUUACAUUAAUUGUUUUUUUUUAUAUUUUGUUGCAGUUAGUGGUUUUUUAAAAAAGGAUAGAUUUCUUGUUUUCAUGACCAAAUUAUGCCUGCCUAACAUUGCGACUAUUAAUAGGAGCUGGUACAGAUCCAACUUAGCCAGCUCCUGAUUGGUUAGCUAGCUACCAAACAAAAAAAAUUACAUGCUUUUUCUCCAUAUGCAGGACAGGUGUGGUGCGUGCAUUGGGUGCGUAUGUUACAGAAUCUGUAAGGUAGACAAUUCCCUAUUAAUACACUUAUUAUUUAAUGUAUACGUUAAAAGAUUUGAGAUUUUAUCUAUUUAUUAAUGGACGUCUCUAAGUUACGUUUACCGUAAGUUACACUCAGUGAUACGAUGGGUUGGCCAAUAAAUAGAUGCCAAGUGAACAAAAUAGCAAUAAAAUGAAACUGGUUUAAAAGGUUGGAGUCCGGUCACCAACAUGUGUCAACGAGAUAAAUUCCUUUCUAUAGCCGGUCAUGACAAAAGUUAAUCAUAACACACCAUAACGUUAAGCGAAAGGGAUUCUAUAUCUUCUUCCAACCCAAUCCUCCUCAAAAUUCACUGCCAACCUCCACCACCGAAUUCCAGCCACCCGGAUUUCAAUGAUUCAAAGUCGGAGUUUUUAUUGGGUUCCAAACAAAAUCCAGAUGGAAAACCCAGCUUGGAGACUGCAAAAUCAGUUUCUAGUUGUGAUUCUUCUCCUCCCUUGGCCAUGUUCUUGGAGUCAAAACAAAACCCAGAUCAAGAAAUUGAUUAUAAAGAAAAUUGCAGAUAUGGGUCUGUUUUUGCUUCUGUUCUUGUUGUCGUUGCUUCUGUUCUUGUUGUCGGCUUAGGGUUGUUGCGUGUUGAUUGAAGGCUGUGAGGGCUAAAAAUUUCCUUGUGUUGAGUGAGGUGAAAUGAAGAAACAGAGAGAUGAAAAAUGGUGCAGAUGAAAACUAAAAUUCACAAGUUCAUAACCUAAUUAUUACUUUAUUAAACAUACACCUACACAAGUUGGAGCAUGGGUUUCUUUCAUCAAUUCGAAGCUUAAGAUUAGAGCAUGAAAGUAUCAAAAUUUACAACUUAAUCACUGUUCAUCGAUGCUAAUUAAAUGUGAACAAAAAUUGAAGACAUAAAAUUCUUGGACCGAAUUAAUUGCAAAAUCGCUAUUCAAAAUACAAAGAAUGGAUGAAAAAAGAAGAAGUAAAUUUAAUAAGACACGGGAAGCAAAAUUAAUGAUGGAAUAGAAUGAUUUAUGCAUUAGUUUUGCAACAAAAUUUGUUCAUGGAUUACACAAGUUUUAAAGCAUGGGAAAUUUAAGUAAAAUGGGGAUUGCAAUUAAGUGAUAGAAAUUAUUAUGAUAAUAAAUGUUUAAAAAUUGUGAUUACCUGGUUAAAUUUGUUGCAAAAAGUUGCUUCGAUUGAAGAAGGAGGAGGAGGAGAGAUGAGGGAUAAGAAGAAAAUUUAUUCUUUUUCUAAGAAUUAACCCUUUGAUCAAGUAGCCCAUCACUUAAAAUGACCAGUUCAGCCGGUUUACCACUUAUUACUACUUUUCGAUAAUUUUAUGUCAUCCGUUGGAUCAAUUUAAAGCACAUUUAACGUUCUUAGAUUCGCUAGCCUGUAAGUUACAUUAAACGUAACUUAGGCAUUGCCUUUAUUAAUUAUUUGUUAUAAGCUAGAGGUUGAACUAUGUUUUCAGGUCAAUGUGAGUUGGUGCAUCCGCAAGAGUUCUUUUUUUUUUUUUGGGUUAAUCGACCGUAAUUUACCUUUUCUGUUGGGCAAGUAUGACAUCUCCCUUUGAAUUUGAAGUGUCUCUUUCCGUCAACUUACUGAAAAUAUCUUCUCUUCUCCCUUCAUUUAUCUUAUGUCACUUGAAGACCUCACAUUUUCAAACGAUCACUUCCAAAUCUCAUUAUCACUUGAGGCAUUCUUGAACCAUUUAAAAACGCAAGUGUGGAAAUAACCAUUCUUUGGUCGCGAAGAUGGUGGCACAUUUUCCAAAUUCCUCGUCCAUCAACAUCAGUAGUCGACUAGUCGUACGUUGAUCUUACAAGUUAACUUGAGUGGGGCAACACAAAAAUAGGGCAGCGCUUAUGUUACAUUUGCUGUAAGUAACAGCCCUACAAAAUGGAUAGUUGGAUUUGUUAAUUUUUAGAUCCAACAGUUGCAAAGAAAUUUAACACAAAAUCAGUUACAUGUAUAGGUGGUAAAAUGAUUAUUAUAAUAAAGGAUGGGCAACCUGCCAAUACGGUUCUGGAAUAAUGUAGUUAAGGGGUUACUCGGUAAUGAAAUUAUAGAGGGAAAAGAAGAGUGAUGAGCGGGUACUCUAGGUACGCAAAAAAUUCAAGAGGCAAAAAGUACAGUAAUUAAGUUUUCAAAGAGGAGAAAAUAAGAGCAGCACCAAACAAUGUUAUCAAUUUCCUCGUUCAAUUUUGCAGACUCACAAAUUGAUUGCGAGAUUACUACUUAAAUAUUUAACUUGUCUCGUUUCACUGGAGGAUAGGAAGGUGAGGCUCCUGCCACUGAUGAGGCAAAGAAGAGCAACCAUGUCUUGAGAAAGCUUGAGAAGCGUAGAAAAGAUCGCACGCUUGACCCACAUAUUGAGGAGCAGUUUGGUAGUGGUCGUUUGUUAGCUUGUGUCUCAUCUCCGCCUGGCCACUGUGGACGUGCUGAUGGGUAUGUGACCCCUUUUAUUGCUUUUUAGUUUUCAAGAUUUGUUGAAGGCCCCAAAAAUGGAAGUAUUCAACAUACACCAUCAUGCCUGGACUUUCAUGUUGUUGAAGCUGGAUAUAUAUAUCCGUUCCUUUCCCUUGCCUCGUAAUGGGUAUUGGACAAUUGCUAGAAGUCUUUUUUUUUAUGACAUUAAACACCUUAAGAUUUGCUUUGGAGACCAUCAAAGUUGUUCCUUGUUUUUGUUUAUUUCCAUGGUAGUUAUUGGAUAGAUACAGGAGAACAAGACAGUAUAAUGGUAAUAUUUGCUUUCUUUUUUCUUGCAUUGAUGGGCUUUUUCAUUUCCGAUAGAUACAUCUUGGAGAAAGAGCUGGAAUUCUACAUGAAGAAGAUACAGGGGAAGAAGGGCAGGGGUGCUGAUGUUGCUUAAAUUUUUGUUUAUUGAAACUCCAUACUGGAAUUUCUAGUUUUGCCUUGUGUUCUUAUUUUUAGUCUUAAUUAAGUUAAGAGAGUUGAGAUGAUAUCAGCAGUUGAACCUGGAUUUCUCACUUGUGUUAUUGCUACAUUUCGUUUUUGAAUGUUACCAAUGCCUGUCUUAGAAUUUCUUUCAUUCCUCUACAUUUUUCAUGAUUCUUUUUCUUGAUUCUGUCUGUGUGAUCAAUGAAUUUGGUAGUUAAUGCCUUAAUGGUUAUUGCUUAAGGUUGAUGUAUUAAUUCCAUACCGAAUAUGAACUUGAUAUAUCUACGCCUGUGCAAUACAAUAACACAACCAUUUUAGGCACUAGUUAUGGGCAAGGCCAUCCCUAAAUAUACAAAUAACUGGGUUAAUGUAUUUUGUUUGGAAUUAGUUUAAUGUAAAAAUUAUUUUCUAACAUCUUUUCUAUAACAUUAUUUUUGUUGGUCUGAAGUUUGUGUGAAAGGAUUCUCUCUACAUGGAAUCUAGUUUCUUGACCUUUUCCCAUGUGUGCACUAUAUGUUGUGGUAAUAGAUGAGCAAAAAUCACGAUCCGUGAAUUUGCUAUCACAAGAACAAUCAAAGUAUGUAUCGAGGAAGCUCAUCGGGAUGAUAAAAAAGCAAGUCGUUGCAGCUUAUUGAAAUAACAAGCAACAAUAAUUGGUUACUGAAACAAAAACAUGUAUUUCAUAAUUAAUACACCGGCGUUAAAACAAAACCAAAAAGCAAAAAAAUAAAAAAUGCGGACGUGUAAAUGCCAUUUUAUUCGAGUUCAUUUCUUAGACGUAGGAAUGGGGGAAGAGUAACAUAGGAAUUUGUUACUGAAACAAGGGCAUGAUGAGCUUCUUGUAGUUUUAGGGCUUGCCAUACUUUUUUCUUAACCGUUCUGUGACAAAAUCAUUGCAAGUCUUAAUUCUUGCUUGUUGAGGAGCAACAUUGACAUAAGACAAAUGCAUGCCAACUGCAAAAAGGGCAGCCCCGGCAAUGAAGUAUCCCCCAGUCAUUGCCAACUUCUUCGGCAUUGAAGGAAAGCACGAUACCAUUUCUCUCUUAAGGAAGCGCAAUUGCAAUUGCGAUCAUAUUUCUGUAACAAAAAUCAAACCAUGCAUAAUAAGCAUAUGAUAAAAAGCAGAGAAACAGGGGCAGCUGCUAUGUCUAAGAGGCAUUUCAUCAUACACAUGGAAGGCGAUUUAACUGCAACCUAAGGUAUCCGGUACAGUCAAGAAAUCAAACAUGGGUAAUCAAGUUUGAUAACAUAUGUAUACACUGCGCUCACAUAAAUUAUAUUUCAUUACUCCAAAAAAAAUAUUAAUAACAAUAAAAAAAAAUCGAAUAACGAAACAAAUUAUAAAAUUUUCGAAACACUCCCUCACCUCUGAAAUCGUAGCUCCCCGUCAUUUCUCUAUGUAGUAAUAAUAGACAGAACUUCCGAAAUAAUUUGUUCCCCCCCCCCCACCUUUUCAGCCUUAAUUCAAUAAUUUCCAUUAUAAAAUUGUUUGGAUAUUUCACAGAUUAAGUUUCAGAGGGGAGUUGUUGCUUCCUUCAAUAAACGGAUAAUGAGAUUAUGGAUUCUGAACUGUUGAAAGCCAUAUAAAUUUUUUUAAUUCCAAAUUUUAUUUUUCUUUUCGAAAUUUUCAGUGAUAUGCUUACCUAAUCUUCAACCGGCUAUUAUAAGGAAUGGAUAGGAUUGACUCUAUCGUUGACACAUUUUACAACUGGUUUGCAACCGGUUUCAACAUGUUUUUCAUGGAGCCCCUUACUGCCACGUGCUGCUCUUAUGUGAGUUAAUUGGUCACCUCACUUAUGUUACUUACACCAAAUGUAACAUAAGCUUACCCCAAAAAUAGACAUACUUAAUCAGUCCAGUCAUUCUCUUUUGGUAAAAUUUAAUAAAUUUUCAGGGAUUAUACGGCCAACCAAUAGAAUUUAAGAAUGAGCACAAGAAGAUACAAAUUGAUAAAACCAAAUGGACUUAUUGUGGUGAUAAUUGAACCAGAGAUGUGAAGUUCUAAAGAUUUGGCAGCAGUUAGUUAAUGUAUAGAAGGACAUAAAGUCAAGUUCCCAUUAUUAUUUUUUUUUCAAAAAACAUCUUUACAACACAUGCACCUGCCAAAAAUUCUAAUUUGUUGACUAAUAAUAAUUGAAUACCUUCAAUGUUUUUCAUUGUAUUGACUCCACCAGCUAAAGUUUUCAAAAAAGACACACAAUAUCAAAAGUGCGGAAUUUAAUUUUUGGCCUUUUGGAUCAAAAUACAAACAAGAAAAAUGAAAAAAAAAUGGUCCAAAGAUUUUUAAAAGAGUAAUGAUAUAUCAACAAACUCUUACACAAAUUUAUUUUGUACAAACUGAUGUGGCAUUAAUUCAUUGGUUGAAUUAAAUAUCUCUUGACCCACAUGAUUUAUUUAUAUUAUUUUAUAUUUUCAUUCAACCAAUGAAUUAAUGACACAUCAGUUUGUACAAGGUAAAUUUAUACAAGAGUUUGUGACUGUAUCAUCACUCUUUGUAAAAUGUGUAGAAGGCUAUAUAUAUAUAGAAUUUUCUAGUCCGGGAUUUAAAAGUUCAAAAAAGUCCAGAAAAAACUUUAAAAUCGUAGGGUAUCAUAACAUUUCAAAAAAGUCUACGACUCUAUGUAAGUUUAAAUUAACAAUUAAGUUAACCCUUAAAAAAUUGUUAGUUGUUAUUGAUAAGUACUAAAAAUGAAUUCUAAUACUAUUGGGUCUAACUUAGUUGUUAGUAGUACAUUCUCUUAUUGUUGUUAAUUUAUUAUUAUUGAAUAUAAACUUGAGUUUUAAACUUUUUAAUUCUAUUAAAUUUUUGUAAAGUUAUGUGGGCUAAAAAAGCACAUAAACUUAAAAAAAUACGCUAACAACUUAGCAAGCCCUCUUAAAAAAAGAAAAACAAAAAGAAAAAAAAAUUGUGCUUAUUUUUUUAAAAUACGGCCCAUAGCCAAUGUUGGAUCUAAGAAAAAAAAAAUUAGGUUAGGCAUGGCACGAAUCACAUGAUAGAACCAUACCGCGCCAAUCCACGAGCUCAUGAGACUUCUUUUGACAGGUUGUUCCGUAAUUAUAAAUAACUAAUAAUCUUUCGUGUUGGAAUUUACGCACAUGGUUUCAAAAGAGUACCAUACAAUUUACGGACAUGGUUUCAAAAUCUUAUCAUGCCUCUAUGAGGAAAAAGUAACAUAAAUUUAUUGAAAACUAAUUAAUUAAUUAAGAAAGAAAGAUUAAAAUGUGAAGUAAUUCAAAUUUUACGUAGUUACAAACGGGAACCUUUCUAAUCUCUUUAUACUGACAGAGAAAUGCGGCAAGCCGGCUACUAUUUUAAAUGCACCAAGAAUUAAAAAAUGAAGGCGGUUCCUAAUUUCCUCAAAUUAGCCAGUUGGAUAAUUUCGUCGGUGAAAGAGUGUAUAAGAAGAGUGAAUUAGUAUUAUUCCAUAUAGAAUGUGGAUGUGGUAGUAAUUCUCCUUGUAGAACAAUUAUCCAACCGUUCUUGCAGCAAGAGCCCUUGUUCUCUUAUUCUCAAACAGCCCUUUAGUACUGGGCCUAACGGUGUACUCACGUUAGUGGAAGGGGUCGUAGAGAAAAAGACAUGAAUUGUGUUUAUGUGAAUGGUCAUUGAUGCCCAGCAUCCAUCAAUUGAUCAGCAUAUUUAAAAACCCAUUGAGAGAAAUCAUUUGUUAAAACUGAAAUUGAAUUUGCGCAAUUGCUAUUCAUGUUGCGAAGAAGAAAAAGAUUUGAGGUUGGAUUAAAUUAAACUCUUUUUCAUCAUCAGAUUGGUUCAAUCUUCCACAUGAUAUGAUAUGCUUAAUAGAGAAUCGCUUUCACUUUGUGGAUCAAGUUUCCGAGCAGUGUGCAAGAAUUGGCGCAGAGCAGUCAAAUAGAAUAAAGGGUUUAUUAAAUAUGCUGAUCAAUUGAUGGAUGCUGGGCAUCAAUGACCAUUCACAUAAACACAAUUCAUGUCUUUUUCUCUACGACCCCUUUCACAAACGUGAGUACACCGUUAGGCCCAGUACUAAAGGGCUGUUUGAGAAUAAGAGAACAAGGGCUCUUGCUGCAAGAACGGUUGGAUAAUUGUUCUACAAGGAGAAUUACUACCACAGCCACAUUCUAUAUGGAAUAAUACUAAUUCACUCUUCUUAUACACUCUUUCACCGACGAAAUUAGCCCACUGGCUAAUUUGAGGAUGUAGAGGAUGGAGGAGACUAAUAAAGAGACAUUUACCAUGUUUCCAGAUGAUGAUGACUGUGAUUGGAUCGAAGAGUUGUUUGAUAUUGAGGAAUUUGAAAAAACAACUGAGAGAGGAUACCCUUUGUUGCCAAAUGGAGAUGUUAUUUGUGGACGUAUGCUAUACCUGCAAGGACUUGUGUACUGUUCUUUAGAUGUUUCUGUGAUCGCAGCUUUCAACGUUGCCCUCAAACAGUGGAAAAUUCUUCCAUAUCCUCAUAUCGGUUAUGAACAUUUCAUUCAUUCUGAUUAUCUAAUUGACUCAGGAUCAGGCCGUGACAGCAACAAUAGUUUAUUAAUAGCAAAGUCUAGAGUACUAUUCCAGGACCCAUAUUUUUCAUAGGUUUGAUCUAUCAGAGAUGAAGUGGUGUAAAUUUGAUAAUAAUAGUGGUUCAUUAAAGGACAAAUCAUUGUUCUUGGGUCACCGUCAUUGUACAUCAUUACUACUUCAAGUGGAAGAUGAAGAUUAUGCAAGCGAUUCCAGGAAUACAAUCCAUUGCUAUGACUGCUGGGAGGAAGAAUGCCCCCAGAUAUCAGAAUUUUAUGGUGGCAUAUUCGAGCAAUAUGCCUGGAUUCAGGGUGCGUUUGGGAUUGAGAUUGGACCGCUGUAGCUUAAAAGCUACAACACUAAAGUGUUUGGUAAACACUAGUUGCUGUAACUUGAAAGUUAUGUUGAUGUGAUUUUUUACUUGUAUCAUAAAAAAUCUAUUAUAUUUUUAAUAAUUUUGUCAAAAUUAUUAUUUAAAAUUUAUAUUUACUACAUAUUAUUAACUUUUGUUUCAUAGUUAUAGUUUUUUUUCCACAGCAGCUGUAACUUAAAAGUUACAACACCUCAAUCCCAAAUGUACUCCUAACCUCCUCUGCCAACGGAUUUCCAUUGACUUCCCCUAUGUAUUUUUGUACCUAUGUUUAAAAUUUUUGGUCUCAUGUUACUUCUUCUGCCAAUUCACAAUGCAUGUAAUCACACACAAAACUUGGAGCAAUUGCCGCAGCAGCUAAGCAUUAACUAAGAUUGCAAUUGCUGCAGCUACUGGUAAAGAAGAGUUCAUUAAUUGGAGCAAUCAAACUAACCACUUAUGUAAUUGAUUGUUGUGCUAACAGCUCUAUUUACGAAAUAGCAACAUAACACAAGAAAAAAGAAGAUACACAUACUUGGCAUAAGUUUAUUAAGAAGUGGAAUCACAUUCGGUGAUGAGUUAGCUUCCGAUAUCUUGCUAGUUGGUGCUCUCUCCUGUCUUUCUAUGUAAGCUGAGGGAAACCAACCAGCCUUGUCCUUGCAUUGUGAAUUCUGGGAGAAAUGACGUAUGGUAGUAAACUAGAUGUACUGAAGUAGGUUCAGGAAGGAAUAUCACUUAGGCAAAAAAAGGACCGGAAACUCGAUUCCAAUUCAUUUUUGUUUGGUAUUUUAAUUCCUCUUUCUCCAGAAAUAUUGCUUGGCAAGUGUGACAUUACUUUCAAAAUCGAUAUAUAAAAUUUCUGUUAUUACUUUAAAGAACGAUCUAUAAAAUUUCUGUUAAACAUUACCUUGACUUUUAACUUCCUUUGUAUUAGCAUUUUUAAAUGCAAGAAUAAUGAUACUACUAAAAAAUAAAUAAAUAAAUACGAAUUUUCAUAAUUGGGCUAAACCAAAUAACAAAAAGACGGAUUAGGACAUCUCAUCUCUUCAAAGUUAGCUUAACUAGAACAACCCCAUCUCUUCCUUGAGAUUCUUAACAGCUUCACUGACUCCAUCCUGAAAGAAGCAUAAGUUUGUGAAAUUUAUUUUCAGUAAUGGAGCUCACAGAACAAAUAGUAAACCUAAAAAUUUACAAGAUGCAGGCUACAGUAAUUCCGACAGCAAUGGCUUCAACGAAUUCAUUAAAUAAAUAAAAACAAGAACUUGAACAAAAGAGAUAUGGAAACUACUAUAAUUCAACUCAAACUCAGUAACUGACAUAUUUGAUAAGUGAAUAACAUUCGAAUUCCUAGCAGCUAGUCGACAAUUAAAUCGUAUAAAAAGAUAAUUUAAUCGAAAGAAAAUCCAAUUUAACACAGAUAUGAGAUACGAAAAGGAAUGAUACUUAAUGCGGCAACAAGCCAUAGCAUUAAUAAAGCUGGGAACGAAGAAAGAACUUUAAUAUGCAUUUACCUCAACAGAGAUUCUUUCAGCAAUCUCUUUUUCACAUUCUUUGACUCUAGGAGAUAGUGCAUACUGAAUGGCUUAUGAUAGUGCUUCUGCAGCUUCUUUAAUGCUAGUGUCAUCCACAUUAUCUGGAACCAAGUAAUUUCUUUUUAGUGGCUCUGGAGCAACUCCAAGUCAAAACAUCCUCUCGGCCCAGUAGAACUGGUCCAGCAUAAAUGGACAUAGUAUCUGACAUCCAAAAUCCACAAAGGAGACGAAUAAAUAAGUCAAAAUUAUAGCAUACAAGUACUAUCACAAAAAUAAAACUAAAGAAAUAAAGGUAACACAAAUGAACUAAUAUUCUGGCAAAGACCAUUUAUACCAUGUUUUGACUCAACAAGCUCAAUGAAGUCCAGAAAGUUACAAUAAAUAUUCAUUUACCACCCUGCCUGUUCUAGAUGUAAUCACUGUUGGUGGGAUUGUCACGGAAAGCAAUUAUAUAUAUAUGCCCUUACUUGACAGCAAAAGUGACAAAGGAGAAAUUUAUCCCUAGAUUCUUACAACAAAUAUAUAGUAAAGCAAACAAGGCGUCAACAAAAGGUAACAUUAGGGAAAAGGAAUCUCUGUUGAAGACAAUAUCAAGAAACCACUCUUGAAAUUCAAUCAAAAAACUGACAUCAAACAGAAAGAGUGUCACCAGCAUUAGGGCAACAAAGAUGAUCGCACUUUAGCAUUUCAACCAAUACAGUAAAAUUAUGUAUGGAUACAACACAGUACGUAUCUUAUUUCCAAAUUAAAUUAAUCAACAAUUAACAAGCUCAUUUCCUUCUCCACAUAUCCGGAAAAAAGUGAUAUUUUCAUAACUUUCUGGAGUAUAUUCAUUUAAAGUUACUCCUUCUGAAAAUUAGAUUUAAAGGGGGAAAAAAGGAGAAAAAAUGGGUUUGCAGUUAAUUAUAUUGGCAGAAGAAUUCCUAUCACCAUAAAAAAUGCAUGAGCUUGUUGAAUUAUAUAGGUGCUUCAAUUACAAAGGUUAGGUAUGAAUGGCUGCCUUUGCACCCAAAGAUUUCUCAACAGUACUAAAAAUAUAUUAGAAGAAAAUUGUACAUAAAGCAACAAAGUGUUUAGAAAUCAACCUGAGGGAUUCCUGCAUGUAGUAGUGCUGCUGCAGUAGAUCCACUGGUUUGAAAUUGAACAACGUAAUGCAAACAUGUAAAUUAGCUUUGUCGUGUUUUGCACUUCUAAUUUAUAUCAAAAGGAAUCACAAAAUAGAAAGCUCUCACCUUCCUCCAUGAUGAAUUGCAGCCACACAUCUUGGAAACAAAUACUUGUACGGUACCAUUCUGGUUUACAUGAUAACAAUUCAAAAGAAAACAUCAAAUUCCACAGACAAAACGAUCAGAAGGAAACUAAUUGACUAAAAUAAUCAUUUAGUAGUCAACCAGAAAGAAGCAGUUGUCUAACUCUCAGGACAUUAGUUAUUCUAGUUAACGCAGUCAGAUUGCCCUUUUUUCAUUUCCAUUACCAAGAAGCCUACUAUUUUAUAUAUUGUAUUAGUUGAUUUAUUUGAAGACACCAGUUCAUUUAAGAUUGAAUGCCUUACAAAGCUCCAUUUGGAGAAGUCCUAAUGGAAGUUUAAAAAAAAUAUAUAUAUAUAUAUAUAUAUAUAUACUAAGGGCGCAUUGCUAUCAUAAUUUCACAAAGAGGGCACCAAGGUCCCAAGUUUCCACGAGUCUCAUACAUAGACAUCCACGUUUCCAAAACCAGUUCUAUAAAAACAGAGUAGAAACUGGGUUAAAUCAAAAGUAAUUGUUAAUUCACUUUUUGUGAGUUAAUCGCAAGAAAUGUUGCUUAAAUCAGCAAGGAAUGUCAUUGACACCAGAAAAGAUUUCGCUAUAAGUGAUAGCUUGUGAUCAUGUUUCAGAUAGCUAAAUCUUCACUGGUCAGAUUAUCUAACCAACACUAGGGCCUGCACAUUUAUGUCAUGAAAAGAAAAACUCACAAUGUAUAUCGUACAGCUCUAUUUUUGUUGCUUCACAAGUGAAUAAGUUUUCAUCUUUAUUCUUCAGUUAGCUCAAAUUCAAUAAGAAUUUAAGAUAUACUGACCCAGAAAAGCAGAAGAGCUUGCCAUCAAAGAUAGAGAUCCCAUACUGAGUGAUUACUCUUUGAGUUAAAAUUGAAGAUGUUCCAGGAGCCAUCACUCGGAUAGCUGUGUCUAAAGGUUCGUAUCCAGCUGUGAAAAGGACAAAUCUAUAAGUUGUGGUGUGUAGAACAGUUUGUAAAACCCGAAGAAAUGCUUCAGGAUUCUUUAAAAAACCCAUGCUGCAAGAAGAAAAGAGAAAUAUGGCUUAGUACAGGAUAAGUAUUUAAAGUUCCAAGUCCAAGUGCACUGAACAUGAGUCGGUAACCUAUUUUACCAGCUCUAAUGUAAAUAUAGUUCCAUUUGAUCAAGCAUUUUUUUUUCGCUGUGAUUUUUUUUAUGCAAACAGAACAUGAUUCACUUCUUUCUUGAUUGGUUGAAAUUCUUAGUAAUAAUUUGGUACUUGGCGUUUUAGGGCACAAUAGAGCUUUCAUUCAAAAUACAAAGAAUAAAUAUGUAGAUUGUUUACUUGCGCCAAGGGAUGGCAAUAAAAUCCGGAUCCGCAUAUUAAAAAAUCGGGAUCCAGAUAUGGAAAGUUGAGAUCCGCAAGGAUUCGAAUCCAGAUUCAAAUACACUUGCAUUCAAAAAACCAGAUAUUCGAAUCCAAUUAAAUUUUAUUUUAAAUUAAAAAAUAAAUAAAUAAAUAUUAAAAUCAAAUUAAAAAUUAAAAAUUAAAAAUUAAAUUUUAUUUGUGGAUUUACAAUGUUGUUGUAUGUUAUUCAUGUUGAAUUAUUGAUUAUUGAAUUACGAUUGAAUUUUAUUUGAUAUUAUUAGGUAAAUUAUUGAAUUUUAUUAUAAAUUAAAAAUAUCUAUUAAAAAUUAAAUUAAAAUUAAAUUUUAUUUAUAGAUUAUGAUAUUGCUCUAUGUUAUUCAUGUUGAAUUAUUAAUUGUUGAAUUAUGAUUGAAUUUUAUUUGAUAUUACCAGAUAAAUUAUUGAACUUUUAAAUUAUAUAUGAAAUUAUUGAAUUUUAAUUUUUGCGGAUCCAGAUAUAGAAAUGUAAAUACGAAUUUGGAUCUAGAUGCACUUACAUCCAUAUGCGGAUUUGGAUUUUGCCAACCCUACGCAAGUAAUCAACUUCUUUGCCUUUGCAGCAGAUGUAAAGUCUCUAUUUCAACUAGAAAAUUCACACCAAAAAUGCAAAAUGAAAAAUAAACAAUAGUUUUUGAAUUUUAAAUUAUCCAAUAAACAAGUUUAUUAUUUUUUCAAAAAAUGAAAAAUGAAAAAUAAGCAAUAUUUCUUGAAUUUUAAAUUAUCCAAUAAACAAGUUUGUUAUCUUUUCCAAAAGCUAUUUCCUAAACAAAAAUGAAAAAAAGUUAGAAUUUAUCAAUAAGUAAAAAAUUAAAAAUAAUUAAUAAAAGAUAAAGAAAUAUGAAUAAAAGUAGUUUUAAGAAGCUGAGUAUAUAUUGUUAUAACAAUAAAACCUUUGGUGAACACCAUCACCUAUAAAUCAGGAUCAUUUAUGUUAUAUUAUCAAUAAUCAAUAAUAAAUUAUGUGAAAGCGUACCUGAAUCCAUAAUUCUUAAUUGCCUUCUGGAGUUGUGUGGUUGACCUUCCAGAUUGACAUAUUCUCCUAGAGAAUUCUUUAAGUUUCUUAUACUCUAUUUCUAAUGAUGGGAUGUCAGAAAGAAUAGAAAGAAUAGAAUGGUAUUUUAAGUUUCAUCGCAUUUGGUUUUGAGAUGAAUUUAGUCAUUGAUUGUAUAUACUAUAAGUUAUGUAGGAGCAAGUAUAUUUCUCUAGUUUUAUGUGUUGAUGACAUUUUGCUUGCUAGCAACGGCAUAAGCUUAUUACAUAAUGUCAAGAGAUUUCUAGUUAAGAAUUUUAAGAUGAAAGAUCUUAGUGAUGCCUCUUUUUUAUUAGGUAUACAGAUAUACCCGAAUCACUCUUAGGAUAUUCUUAUCACAAAAGAGGUAUAUCGAAACCGUCUCAAGAGAUAUGGCAUGUGCAAUUGCAAACCAAGUGAUACCCCUAGUGGUAGAGGAGACAUGUUUAGUCUCAAUCAGUACCCUAAGAAUGAUUUUGAGGACAGAAAAUGCAAAAGAUUCAUUAUGCAUUAGUAAUAGAAAUUCUGAUGUAUACUUAGUUUCCUAUGCGAUCUGAUUUGCAUACGUCACUCAGAUGUUGGGCUGAUAUUUAAGUAAUCUAGAAGUAUACUAUUGGAAAGCAGCUAAACAGGUCUUGCGAUACUUACAGAGAAUAAAAGAAUACAUGCUCAUGUAUAAAAUGUUGUGUUAGCUUGAGAUCAUUGGAUAUACUGACUCCGAUUUUGCUGGAUGUCAAGAUAGUAUAAAGUCUACAUCAGGCUACAUUUAUCUACUAGCUAAGGGUGUUGUCUAUUGAAAUAGUGUUAAAUAUUCUCUUAUAACAUCUUCUAUGAUGGCAGCAGAGUUCAUAGUAUAUUACGAAGCAUGCAAUCACAGAAUAUGUCUGUGGAAUUUUAUCACGAGGUUGCACAUAGUAAAUGGUAUAUUGAUAGACUACUUAAGUUAUUUUAUGAUAAUAAGUCAAUAGUAUUGUAUUCCAAUAACAACAAGAACUCGACGAAGUCUAGACAUCAAGUUCCUAAUUGUUAAAGAAAGGAUUUAGAGUGGGCAAUUGCCUAUAGAGCACAUCCACACAAACUCUAUAAUUGCGAAUCCGCUUACUAAGGGAUUGCCACGCAAGAUGUUUCAUAAGCACACUGCUCGUAUGAGUGUCAUGUGAUUAAAGGAUAUUCAAUUUUAGUAGAAGUGUGUGAUUUUAGAUACUCUUAUAAAGUAGACAUUUUUUAGUUAUUUCAGUUUAUGGAUAUUUCGGGUUAUUUUUUGCAGAAAUAAAGUUUUGUUUUAUUCACGCCUUAACUUUUAGUAUGUUUGAUCUCACUAAAUUUUAAGGUAGAUUAGUUGAAAAUAAGCAUGUUAAGAUCACAUUGCAUGAAAUUUCAAUACUAUAUAUCCACAUCAUGUUAAGGUGGACUAGUUGGAAAUAGGCAUGUUAAGCUCACAUUGUAUGAAAUUUUCAUGCUACACAUCCACAGCAUGAUCAAUGUCAUUUAGUUGUAUUGGCAUAGUGACCAUUGAUGGGUCAAGUUACGAUAAUUGUAACAAAAGCCGCUUUGAUCCUAUGUUGGUAUGAUUGAUGCACUGAAUUAGUUAUAGAUACAUUUUGGUAAUGACAAUAAGGUUGAGCUCAUACAGUUAUUUUUGCAAAGCAUAAUUAUCAAGCUACACAUAUAGCUCAAGUGAGAGAUUGUUAAAUCUUUGAUCCAACAUUAUUGGAUCCUUAAUGUAAUGUUGGGCUUAUUUGUGAAUAAUUAUGUGUUGUGGACUGUCAUAUAAGGUUAAAUCUAAUUAAAAGUGAUCUAUUAAGAUUUUCAAUAAUAUAGGUUUUCAUGUAUCAAAUAAGGUAUAGGCCUUUGAUAUAAAGAUAUUUAAAAAUAAUUUCUAUUUCUAUGAUGGGCUGAAAUAGGAAUACUUAAAGAUAAUAUGAAAAGUUGUCUAUAUAAGCGGUUAUCAUUAAUAUAACUAUAAUAAAUAUUUAAAUUUGAAUAAUAUUAAUUUAAAAUUAAUAAUAAUUAAAUAAUAAUAGAAUAUAUAAUUUAAAUUAAUCACAGUAAAAUUAAUACAGUACAGUGGAGCACCAAACAUUAUGCAGCAUUGUUAUAACAUAGUGCUAAUGCAAUACAACAUAAUACAAUAAAGUGUGUCAAAUGCACCCAUAGGAAAAAGCACACUUACACCCCAACAUUUAGAGAAAUAGUCAUAAAGAACCCUAAAUUUUCAAUAAGAGACAUCAAGACCCCCUUUUGACCAUAAUACAUUUUUAAAACCCAAAAAUUGACCCGAAAAUUUAUAAUAGAUAGAAAUAUAGCAUUUAUACAAUCUAUUAGGCAUAUUUUAUUAUACUAAAAUAAUUUUUAACAAAUAGUAGCAUAAUAUCAAAAGAAAUUAAUGAAAGUUAAAAUUAUUUUGAAUAUUAUGUAAAAAAUAAUUUUACUAUUAUUAACAGGGAGAUAUUUUAUUAAUCGUAAAAUCUUUUUAACGCAUAAAUACAAAUAUAUUAUCAAAAUAAAUAUAGCAAUUUAAAAUUUUAAUAUUAUUUAAAAUUUUAAAAAUAAUUUAAUAUUAUUAGUCCACUAGAUAUAUUAUAUUUAUAUUAAUUAAAAAAAUUUAAAAUCAAUAUUCUAAUUACUAUAUUCAAUGAGUAUUAUAGUAAAAAAAAUGAGUCUUGAUGUUCGUAAGAAACAACAUUACAAUAACUCUAUCAUAAUCUUGUAAACAAAAGUACAAUAACUCUUCACGUAAUCUUGUCUGCUAACACCAAUUAUUUAUGUAUAUUUCUCUUUAAAAAAGCUCAAACAAUGCUCUUCGUUUUUCUUUAAUUAGACAAAAGAAAAAAAUGAUUACGGAACCACUACUUUCCAAAUGACCCUAUCAACAACCAGUGACUCUGACUAUAGGCAAAAUAUGUGCUCAAAAGUCAUAGCGUUAAAGUUGGAGAAGCCCAUUUGACAAUAAUAAAUAAAUAAUUUUCCGUGACGCAUGAUUUUUCCAAAUCUUGUUUUGUAUUUCAUUUUUUUUUACUAAGGGUUAAUUUUAGAUUACUGACUCGUGAUUUGAAUUCAAAUCACCUCCUUAUUUUUAAAAACUUUAAUUUACCUUUACGUUUCGUUAGGAAAAUUAAAAAAAAAUCAAUGUACCGUUUUUUAAUCUUUUGAAUGAGGGAUAAUUUGAGAUUUUCAAAAUUAAAUGGGCCAUUUGAAAUUAAUCAAUUUAAGAGGGGACAAAUUUUAAACUACUUCCCUCUUGAAUUGACUCUCUUCAAAUUACCCUCUUAUUUUUUAAAAUAUGAAGUUAUCCUAUUUUUUGUGUAAAGGAUAAGGUAAAAAUGGAGAUAAGUUGAUGAUUUUUUUUUUUUUUGGCUUCUUAACAAAAAUAGAAUAAAUUGAGAUUUUAAAAAAUAAAGAGUGAUUUGAUGAUGGUCAAUUCACGAGGAGAAUAAUAUUCUUUUAUGAAAAAAAUCUAUUUUUAUUUUUAUUAUUAACAAACUUACAAUAAAUGUACAUAAGGAUUAAAAAAAUAUAAGGAUAUAAGUUUGUGAGUAAUGAGUUCAUUUCUUUCCACACUUGUUUAUAUCUAUUGAUUUUAUUGCACUCUACUUAAAUAUCCAAAUAUUUCCAGCAAAAAAAAAGGGGUCGGCUGAAAUAGACAUGACGUUUUUAUACGCUAAAGUUGGAAUAAUAUGAAUAAAUCUAUUAAUUAUCCGAUGAAGACAAGUUUUUUUUUUUUUGAUAGUUUAACUUUUUCCCCCUAAACUAUGCACUGUUUGUAAAUGAAAGCGUUACAAAAAUUAUGAAAAACGGAUUUUAUUUUUUUUUAGUAGUAACAUAGUAAUUAGGAAAUAACAUCUAGGCCCAAUAAAAUAUUAUUAACAUUUUACUACUAAUAAUCAUAAAAUCUUACAUUUUAUUAUUUUUAUAUGUUGACCUUUAAUACACCCCUUCUUUGAAAUUUAUAAAAAGAGUUUAUCAAGAAAGAGGAUUUAAUAAAUAAAUUUAUCCAUUUGAAUAGCUGAACUCUUUCACACAUCUAUAAAAUAUCAGUAACGCCCUUGACAAAAAGACUAUUUUCUCAAUUCCCAUAAUAUACCAUCUUCAUGGUUGGCAGCAUAAACAGCUAUUAACUAUAAUAUUAGGCAAUUAGUAUUCUAUAUUCAAGGGUAAAAUUCAUUUUAUCUGUUCAGAGUUUUAUUUGUAUUUUACAAGUCAAAAUAUGUAUAAUGAAUCUUGCAAUUUUUAUUUUCCAAAGCGAGGGCAUAAUUGAUAUUUUAAAUCUUUAGUAGUAAAAUUUACGUUAAAAUGUCACGUACGACACCGAUUUACAUGGUUUCGAAUCCAACCAUUGAUCGAUCUCAUCUUCAGUCAUAUUAGCACUUUGUCGGGCUGUUAUUGAUGUAUAAUUAAAUAUUAACCCUGCAUUACCAUAAAUGUCUCCAUGACAAAAAAUUAUCAAAAAAUAAUUAAACGCACAAAAAUCAUCUUUUGCAACCCGACCACAUACAAAUUUGUGCUGAAAUUCAUACAUAUCUUGUGAAUAUUUAUAAUUAUGUACCACAGCUAGUAGGGUAGAAAGAUGCUACAAUUAUUGACUCGUGGGGAUAAAGCCUGUUCAUAAAUAAUUGCAGAGCAUAUCAAGCGAGGUGAAGCUUUAAAUAAUACUUGCAUUCUUUAAAAGGAUUGUGGGAGAUUGAAUAUUUCUCCUGAGUGAUAUAGAAAUUAGGCAUAUGCAUGGUUGUUACUUAAUGUCAUGCUCUAAAAUAUUUGUGCACUCGUAUAUUAGAAAAAUUCUCUUUGCUUCUAUCAUUUAAAAAAAAAAUUGUGUUGCCUUUUAAUUUAUAUUUACAGUAAAAUUUAAGUGGAUGAUUGGUGGUUGAUAAACAAAAUUUAUAAUAAUUAAUCCUAAUUAUGUACCGUAUGUAGAUACACUAAAAGAAUUUUAAAACAAAUUACAAAAAUAGACCUUUUCUGGAAAUUAUUUUCAGAGUCGAAAAUCAAGAUUGUGCAAAAUAAUAAGUCGUUGGCUUCUCAAAAGGAGUUCUUGAAUCCACCAUUACUAAAGGUGCGUUUGGAAUUGAGGUUGGACAGCUGUACCUUAAAAGUUAUAGCACUAAAGUGUUUGGUAAACACUAACUGCUGUACCUUAGAAGUUAUCUUGAUAUGAUUUUUCACUUUUAUGAUAAAAAAUAUAUUAUAUCUUUAAUAAUUUUGUCAAAAUUUUAUUAAAAAAUUAUAUUUACUAUAUACUAUUAAAUUAUAUUUCAUAAUUACAUCUUUUUUUUAUAGCAGCUGUACCUUAAAAACUACAAAACCUUAAUCUCAAACAGGCUCUAAACUAUCUUGUUUCUCCAUUAUAUCUUUAUUAUGCCACCCAAUAUAAAAAUUUAAAAUUCAUAAACAAUAUUUCGGUAAUAUCAUAAUUAAUAUAUAAAUUGUAAUAUUGCUACAUGUACAACAUCUAUAACUUACAUCAAUUUAAAAUUAAUUUUUUAUAUGACUCAGUUGUUGUCGGUCAAAUAAAUGGGAGUUAUGAAAAAUUAUUUUUAGGUCCACUAUUAGUUAGCAGCGCCAGACUGUGAUAUUAUAGAGUACUAUAUAAGGAUGAAUAAUUUAAAAGCUUUACGACUCUUAGAAUUUGGUGAAAUAGAACAGCUUCUAAUGAGAUUGUAUAAUCAAAUCAAUAUAUACUGAUUUGUACAUGUAGAUAAAUUGAAAAGUUAGAAUGAAAUGUUACAACCCUAAAGGAAAAGGUCACCUACACCUCUAAUAUUUAGAGAAAUACUCAAAAGACCCCUAAGUUUUCAAUAAGAAACAUCAAGAUCCCCUUUUGACCAUAAUACCCUUUAACUUUAUAAAUCUAAAAAAUUGACCCCAAAAUUUUAUAAUAGAUAGAAAUAUAGCAUUUUUACAAUCUAUUAGACAUAUUUUGUUAUAUUAAACUAAUUUUUAACAAAUAGAAGCAUAAUAUCAAAAGAGAUUAAUUAAAGUUAAAAUUAUUUUUAAUAUUAUGUAAAAUUAAUAAUAAAAAUAAUUUUAGUAUUAUUAACGGGGAGAUAUUUUUAUUAAUCGUCAAAUCUAUUUAACCCAUAAAUACAAAUACAUUAUCAAAAUAAAUAUAAUAAUUUAAAAUUUUAAUAUUAUUUUAAGUGUUAAAAAUAAUUUAAUAUUAUUAGUCCACUGAAUAGAUUAUAUUAUAUUAAUAUUAUUUACAAAAAUUUUAAAGUCAAUGUUCUAAUUACCAUUUUCAAAGAUUAUUAUAGUUAAAAAAAAAAGGGUCUUGAUGGCUCAAUUUUCUCAAACCUUAGGAAUAUUGGUAUCCUUUACCCUAAACCUUAGCAAUAGAACAAAAUUUUUCUCUGAUGCUCGUAAGAAAGAAAAGUACAAUAACUCUUAACAUAAUCUUGUAAACAAAAGUACAAUAACUCUAACAUAAUCUUGACUGCUAACAUCAAUUAUUUAUGUAUAUUUCUCUUUUAAAAAGCUCAAACAAUGCUCCCUUUCAUUUUUCUUUAAUUAGGCAAAAGAAAAAGAAAAUGAUUACGGAACCACUAAUUUUCCAAAUGACCUCAUCAACGAAGGAGUCGGCCACUAUGUGCUUAAAAGUCAUAACGUUGAAGUUGGAGAAGCUCAUUUGACAAUAAUAAAUAAUUAAUUUUCCGUGAUGCAUGAUUUUUCCAAAUCUUGUUUUGUUUUUCAUUUUUUUUUACUUUAAGGGUUGAUUUUAGAUUACGACUCGUGAUUUGAAUUCAAAUCACCUCCUUAUUUUGACUCGUGAUUUGAAUUCAAAUCACCUCCUUAUUUUUAAACACCUUAAUUUACCUUCACUUUUUGUAACGAAAAUUUUAAAAAAAUCAACAUACCCCUUUUUUAAUCUUUUGAAUGAAAGAUAACUUGAGAUUUUCAAAAAUAAUUGGGCAAUUUAAAAUUACUUCCCUCUUGAAUUGACUAUCUUCAAAUCAUCCCCUUAUUUUUUAAAACCUCAAGUUAUCCUUUUUUUGUGUGUAAAGGAUAAGGAAAAGAUGGAGGUAGGUUGAUGAUCUUUUUUCUGGUCUUUUUAACAAAAAUAGUGAUUUGAUGCUGGUCAAUUCACAGAAGAAUAAUCUUCUUUCAUGAAAAAAGAUCUAUUUUUAUUCUUAUUAUUAACAAACUUUCAAUAAAUGCACGUAAGGAUUAAAAAAAAUAUAAGUUUUUGAGUAAUGUGUUCAUUUCUUUCCACACUUGUUUAUAUUUAUUGAUUUUAUUGCACUCUACUUAAAUAUGCAAAUAUUUCUAGAAAAAAAAACGGGUCGGCUGAAAUAGAAAUGACGUGUUCAUACGCUAAAGCUGGAAUAAUAUAAAUAAAUCAAUUAAUUAUCCGAUAAUGACAAUUUUUAUUUUCUUUUGAUAGUUCAACUCUUUUCCCCCUAAACUAUGCACUGUUUAUAAAUGAAAGCGUUACAAAAAUUAUGAAAAACUAUUAUUUUUUUUUACUAAUAAAAUAGUAAUUAGGAAAUAACAUCCGGGUGCAAUAAGUAUUAUUAACAUUUUACUACUAAAUAAUCAUAAAAUCUUACAUUUUAUUAUUUUUCUAUGUUGAACUUUAAUAUACCACUUAUGCCCUUCUUUGAAAUUUAUAAAGAGUUUAUCAAGAAAAAGGAUUUAAUAAAUAAAUUUCUCCAUUUGAAUAGCUGAACUCUUACACACAUGACACAUCUAUAAAAUAUCAGUAACGCCCUUGACAAAAAGACUAUUUUCUCAAUUUCCAUAAUAAAACAGCUUCAUGGUUGGCAGCAUAAACAUGUAUUAACUAUAAUAUUAGGCAAUUAGUAGUCUAUAUUCAAGGGUAAAAUUCAUUUUAUCUGUUCAGAGUUCUAUUCGUAUUUUACAAGUCAAAAUAUGAAUAAUGAAUCUUGCAAUUUUUUUUUCCCAAAGCAAGGGCAUAAUUGAUAUUUUAAACAACAACUAAAGGUCAAUUACUAUCUUUGUCACAAUAGUAGUAAAAUUACGAAAUUUAUAAUUCUUCAGUAGUAAAAUUUAUGUUAAAGUUUUGGAUAAAAAUUUAUGUUGAAAUAACCCUCCUUAUCUAUAUAUAAAAUAAUUCUCAGGUGUGGAUUCCUAAAGUCAGAUUUCGUGUAGAUUCGUUGUUACACUAUAUCUAUUUUAGUUUUUUUUCGACUAACACUAUUAAACCAGUGGUGUAAUAGUGAAUCCACAUUUUCACAUCCAUAUAAGAGAAUGACUAUAUAUAUAUAUAUAUAUAUAUAUAUAUAAGGAAAUUUUAAUUAGUUAAUUGCUUGAAAUUUUCUUAUUUGAAAUUAUUAAAAGUCGUUUGAAUGUUUUAUAAUUAUAUUUUAAAGUAUGGUGCGUAUGCACAAUUUGAGAAAUGAAAAUAUCACGGCCCAUAUUUUAAUGUACUUUUUAUUUUAUUAGAAACUAUUGUUCUUAUCUUUACAGCGUAUAUUGUUAAUAUUUAUGGAGAAUAUCCAUUUUGAGAAUCACUAACCACUCUUUCAAGUCAUUAUCUCUAGGCUUUUUCAUUACUCCUCGUAUAGCAAUAAAUAUUUAAAUAUUGAUGCAUGAAUAUAAGAAAUCAAUAAUAUCAAUUAAAUAAUAAUUUUUGACAAUUUUAGGACUAGUAUGGUAAAUUAACAAUUCGAUAAAUUUAGACGAUCAUAUAUUAUAAAAAAAAAAUUCUUAUUUUUAUAUUGUACUCAAAUACUAUAUAAAUUAAUAGUUAAUUUACUUGCAACUAAAUUAAUAGGAUAUGUGCGUACAUGGGCGGCUUUUGUGAAAUAUGCUUUUACUGUUCUUUUCUUGAAAUAGUUGUAGACUUGAUCUCAUGUCCAAUUUCACAAGCGUUUUAAAUAAAUAUGUGCAAGAUAGGCUCAAUAGUAGAAAGAACUACCAUUUGAGGCAUGCACAAAUAUCUAAUUUCUUAUUUUAAUUAAUAAACAAUUACAUAAACAUAAGACUUUAAUAUAGUCGAAGUGGCUAAAUAAGCGGACGGGCAUCUUAUAGUUUGCUCGUGUUCGUAUAUCCAAGUACUGAUGGAUUUGUAGUAGCAAAUGCAAGCAGUUCUUGGUCACGUUCGAAAAAGGCCAUGUCUUCGGGGCUCAGAGUCACCAAUACUUCUAUUCCCUUACCAUCGUUUGUGUCCAUUAGCAUAAUCAAGUUUGACACCGAAUAAUUUGGAAAAGUCAGGUGCACUGGCUUUCCCCAUCCAAAAUCUGCUGCUUCAUAAUAUGGAAAGUUAACAAUACUGGAGAAAGUGUAGAAAUCGAUCUCAUCUUUUUCAAACUUGUCUUUAAUUGACUCCGGAAUAUCGAAUAUACUCUUGUUUUCUAGCAAGGUUUUGAGACCGUUUCGUCUAAAUUCUGCCUUUGCUUUCCUUAAUGAACAAACCAAGUCUUGUAGUGUUUCAAUUUCCUUUUCACUCGCCUGCGCCAUCAGAUACGCGACGGAGUUGCCCACAGAGUUGUCAGGCAAGGGUGGGUCGGCCACGGCACGCACGUUUAUCGCGUGUGCUGACAAAGAAGGUCUUGAAUACCCGAGGUUUGAUCUUGAUGCAGCCCUUGCACACUUCCAAAUAAGUGCAGUCAGUGCCUCGACGCGUGUUGGUCUAGGCACGCUUGCACUUGAAACUUCAGCCCUGAGUCGGUCAAUUUUCUUUGUAUCAAAUACAAACCUGUUUGCUUGGACUGGUGAAAUAU